UUUUUUUUUCAUGUUUCACCUUUCUACUCUAAUUAACUAAUUAUAUUUACUUUACUGAUAUUUUUUGAAUAAAAAUAUACUUUUAGAAUGUUGUAAUAGUAUUUUUAAUAUGUUAUGAAUAUAUUUUUAAAAUGUUACAAUUGGUAAAUCUUGAUGUUGCAAACUUUGUUUGUACGUGAUGUCUCCCUCCGAGGAUGUUGCAUGAAACAUGGUGCCAUGUUGCGGCGGGAAUUUUCUAUCCUCGAAUAGGACGCAAGAGUCAUUUUUAUUCACGUAUUUUUAGUGUUGCAGACAAUAAUUUGUAAUGUUGCAGAAGUUAAUUUUCACUGUUGUGAUGGAGCGACCGAUAAGAAAAUUUCCAUCGGACAUCUGGGCACUAGUAGCUCCAUAAAGAAAUUGGGAGAGGGGAUUGGAGGGAGAGAGGAUUUGGGAAAGAUUGAUCCAAUAUUCUUCCGCAGUUUUAAUUUUGCAUCUCCAAAUUACUUAUUGAGGCUAGAAUCUAGAUGCUAGAACACCGAGGAUGACUCGAGCCCAACCGUCGCCGCCCCACAAGCCCCUCCCCACUCCUUCAUGUACCUCGCUGUUGUCGGAGAGCAUUGCUGGAAGCCCGCGCAGACUCUAAGAAGGCGGCGGCAGGAGGAUUUUCUCCAUUCCUCCUCCUCCUCCCAACCAUCUUUGUUUGUGACUCGAUUCAGUCCCUUCCACGCAGAUCUGGUGGUUCCUCACGAUUUCUUGUGGGAUUCGGGCCGGAGACGGUGCCUUCAGAACUCACGGUGGCAAUUGGACAUGUGCGUUUGGCCCCCUGAUCCGUGUGUGUCCAGAUAUGGCAUCAGGGAGGCGGUGGCUAUCUCCGGCCAAGCGACGGCGCCCACACCCCACCCAACUUCCAGGUGUGCUAGUGUGGACUCCGGUGAUUACAAUCACAAGCGUCGUGCUUGAAAUAGGUGCUUUGGAUCUCGCUAUGUGGCGUGUGCGUGUGGUAUGGGAUGCACUUCAUCAACAUCGGGUUUCACGUACUUUGGCCUCCAAUAAUUGGCGAUGGCAUUGUCUGGGACGUGCUUAGUUGACCCCUUGGGGAUAUGUUGUGGUUGGCUAGGAUGCGGUGGUGAAAACCAUCAUGGCUUUAGAGCCAGCUUCGAUGGCAAUGAUGCCUUUAGGUGUUGUUUUCCUUCUUGAGGGCGCCACCAAUGUGUCCCAAUCCCACCACAUCACUAGGUCUCCAGGUGAAAACUUUGCCCUAGCGGGAACUGUCAGCAGUGACUAUCAUUGUUUCCUCAGUAGAGGCGUCAUUUUGGAGGCUUUUGAGUGGUGGUGUACUUCAUGCGGGUAAUGUUGCUGCCUAACUUUGAUUCUUCAACGGCAAUUGGUAUCUUAUUUAUCCCCGCUGGCUGCUGUUUAUGUUAGUAGAAGUGUGGAUGGUUUUGCUGCAGUCUUGGUUUGGUGGUUAGAAUGUCAAUCAGCAAAUGGAGUUGCUUCACUUCCCCAUUGUUGGAUAUGGCUCAUGCUUUGGUUUUGAUUUCACCUAAUGAGGAGAAGUUGGUUCAUUGGGAGGUAAUUUUACAAAACAAGCCACAUAGGUAGAUUAUCUAAGUAGCUUUGUUACAAAUUUUGAGUUUCUUUUUUUCUUUUAUUUUGUUAUUUCUCUUUGGUACAUCAGAUCUUCUGAUGUGUCGGCUACAAGCUCUCUUAGAACAUGUAGCUCAUUGCAAUGUUUAUGGUCCGAUGCAUUCUCAAAAGAGAAUUUCUGAAGUCGGAAUAUCAUCUUCCAUUACCUAAAGAAGAUUACUUAUUGAUACAAUGCAUAGUAAAUGACUCAUGGUAGUUACUUGAUAUGAAUAAAAUAUGGAAGAGUUGAAUAUAGAAAGGCAAAUAUGACUGGAUUGUUUAAGAUCAUUAUGAAAUAGGAGAGAGAAAUUGGAUGGGAGACUCUCAUUUAGGUGAAAUAGGGGCCAAAAGUAGGAGGUGGGUUGGAGUUGCUCAUAGUACCAUCACCAGCACCAUGCCCGGAUCUCGGUAGCCCAACCAUCCAAGGACCCAGAUAUCGCAGAUCUGCACCACCCCAUCAUAUCGAGCACCCAAACCGGGCUAUGGUAGACGGUAGAUGACAAGGCGGAAUCAAAUUUGAUACAAGAGUUUACAUCUCCAUGUGGAUACGAGCAUCGUCGCAUAGAACCUAGUGAGGCUGUCGCCAUUGCCGUCAUCUCCCUCGUUAGACAGCUCUACAAAUAUCCAUGCUGAUGUGCGCGGCAUCAUAAAAGUUGUGUGUGUCAGAGAGAGGGGAGAGAGAGAGAUGAGAAGGAGAGGUCAAAGGCCUUGUGACCGCCGUCCUUGUAGCCAUGUUGGCUUCUGACAGCUUGGUUUCGCUGCACCAGAUAGGAAAAACCCAGGGAAGGGUUGUUAAGAAUGAGUGGCUACCUGAAGCACCCCGUAGGAGGAGUGACACAGGAGCAAAGAGGGCUUAUUAGGGAUUUUAGGAAAAUCUAUGGCACAUCACAUGCCCAACCAUAGACAUAAUUCAAAAAAAUAGUAAAGAAUUUACAAAUAUAAAUAGCACAUAAUUCCAUGUAAAACCACAAUCAAAUUUAUAAUUAAACAACAUAUUUAUAUCCCAUAUGGUAAUAUAUGUCACAAACUUCAAUAUGCUCAUACAGUACAUCCAUCAACAUAUAUCUUAGAUAGUCCUUGAAAUAUACAUACACAUACAUGCACACAUCCCCACCAAUUAUUAAGAACAAACACAUAUAGACAUGCAUGCAACAAUACAGUGCUUCGAAUAGUACAAGCAUAUACAUAAUUAGCUUAGCUAGUUACCAAAAUAUAGAAACCAUGCAUUAUUUCACAAAAUGCGAUGUAGCUAUAGGCAUAAUAUAUUUAUGUGACCCAUUGUCUCGGCUUCCCUCUUCACUCUAGUAUUUCCAGAUGCCAUCCAUGUCCUUGGUGGCCACGGACUCUGGGUUUGCAGAAAUCAUCUGUGAUAUCUCAUCAGCAUUGGCCUGGUCAUGGUCUACCCCUGUGUCCUUUUGUGACACCAUCAAAGAAGGUCCACUCUUCGAUGCACCUAGGAAGCUGCUAGCGCCUUCUGCUCCCAUGCCCAUCUGGUGGUAGAUGGACAUCGGCGGCGCCACAACCAUCGAGUUCCCAAACAAGGUGCUAGCCACUUGAAGACCGAUGUUGCCCAUGCCUGACAAAGGUGGCAUUACAGGUGGCACCGCUAAGGAUCUUGCGUCAACGGUGGAGUAGUAGGAUGCCGCUGGGUCCAUUGUGAAGUCUGAUAGCAUGGAAAAUUGUAGCGGCAUAGGCAUAGAGAUGCUACUCUGGUCAAUUCCACCGCCAGUCAUGGCCACGUUGAACAAUGGUAGUGCAGGUUCCCUCUUUACCCUAGUGGUCUUGUCAAACACGCGACAGACCACCCAUUCAUCCUGCAUUAAUUUGAUAUAUGUAAACCAACAAUGAAAUUAGGUUAGUGUAGACACAACAAGAAUAAUAAUGAAUGCAUGUAUGGAAGUGCUAGCUACUACCACCUCGGAAGAAGAUGAUUUAAUGGUAGUAGUGGAAGUUGAGCUAGAUGCAGGGCAGGGGACCUUAUUGGUGCCUUCAAGCCUGAACUCGUGCAUGACCCAGUCGGUCUUUUUGCCAGUGGGAGCCCUACCCUUGUAGAAGACGAGUGUCUUCUUCAUGCCAACAAGCAGCGGUAGCUCAUCCUUUUUUGCGGCCCUAUAGAUCUCUCUAUCCUUCCCCGUGGCCUUCCAGUAGCCGCCCUUCGUGGCCCGGUUCGUCCUCUUUCCCGUUGGGUACUUACGGUCCUUCAGAUAAAAGAAGUACCACUCUUUGUCCCCCAUCUUCGCCUUGCCUACAUAAUGAUUCAAGGAUAACUCACUAUAGUGUGACCAUGGACCAUAUGAACAGGAUAUAUAUGUGUAGAGUGUGUACCAGACAGUUCCCAUGGCUCGAUCCUAUUCAAGUCAACCUCUCCAAUGGCAGUGCAAGAGAAGUUGCUUUGAUGAACCUUGGGCUUGAGGUAGAAGGUGAUUAUCUCCUCAUCGCUAGGGUAGAACCGAAACCCUGGAGGCAGCUGAAGGCCAUCCUUGAUGCUCAUCCCUUUUGGUUGCACCUUUUGUCCUCCCAUGCUUCUCUGCUCAUUAUGAUUAGAAUCACUAACAAGUUAAGCAAACAACCAGGAUAAGCAAUAAGGAAUAUAAAGAAUAUUGGAAAAAAUAAAGAAGUGAACCAACAUGUGCAAACACUUCUUGGUCCACCGAUUAUCCUCGAUCUCUCUGUCAGAGCUUGAGGUAGAUGCGGGCUAGAUUAUUUUGAUGCAAAUAGCAGGAGACUACAACGGUUUAAAUAGGCAGGAGGCAUGUGCAAGCAAACCACUUUCGGUGGAAGGCUUCCACCAACUUCCUCCUUUUUCGGUCUAGAUGUUUCUACAAGGCAUUGGACGCUUGCUCUUUCCACCUAUGUUGUUCUUGUCCCCAUGCACCACUUGGUCACUUUCGGCUGGGACUGCGACUCCUGGUGAUAGGUACUCAGCAUCUUGAAUCUCUCUAACGGUGUGCCUGCUAUGAUCCCCCUCCGGUUUGCCUACCUUGGUUUGCAAUUUCACUGGACGUAUGUGUAACCUAUGCAUGCCACUCCUAGCCAUUGACUUGCAUGAAUGUAGAGUUGUACUAUAUGUCUGGAAGCUAGCCACUCAUCAAGACGUGCACACAUUAGCAGGUGUUGCGGCUGCUACAAGGCAUUCAUGGUGCAAAAGUAGAUAGGCCUACGUGGCUUUCACGUUUCUAUUACAUGGGUCUGUGGGCAUCCAUCUGGGACAAGGCCGGUGGCGAGUCAUCAUGAUGUGGUUAGUGAUCAUUGCAUGUUCUCAUGUUCUUUUCUUGAUAAGUUUAGAUGUAAAGAGAAUAUGUGCACCUCAUUGUUCUUUAUGGUUUAUUCUGUGGAUGAGUUGUCUGUUGUUGUGUAUGUGGACACUUGAUGUAUCUAUCUAGUUGGUCAUGUUUUGCUUGUGUUUAUCAUCUCAUAAAACUAUGCAUAUAUUGUUGUCAAAUGUACAAGUUUGUACAUCUAUGCAAAAAUGUUUAGGGUCACCAACAUGCGAGCUCUAGAAACUAUGGGAAAUUUUCCUAGCAAUAAGCUAGGGGCGGACAAGUGACAACAACAGCUUGAUUUGUGCAUCCAUGCAUGCACAAGGAUUUUUCCUUUUAUAUUUUUAUUUUCAAGACAUAAUUAAGUAAAUAUGUGCUCCAAUCCAUAAAUUCACAUUGUGCGUCUAUAUACAUGACUAUGUGCUUUCCAAGCUGAUUUAUGGCAUGCUUGCUUUUUAUCAAGAAAAGUGGUUGCAUCUUGUGCUUGUCCUUGUGUUUCAUCUCACCUAAGAGCCUCAAGGUGUGAAAUACAUGAAUGUUCAUGCUUAUUAAUUCCUUAGCUUUUAUCUAUCCCUCUACCAUAUCAUGGCCCAACCUAAAACCAUGACCUAGUGUGCAUCACCACAAAUAAAUCCUGCCAAAAGUUUGAGGCUAACAUAUCUUCUAGGGAAUACACAUAACAUCGCCCCUUUUAUAGUAUGUGUCUCAUGGGGGCUAAUUUGAUUUAGUGGAACUACUAUAAAAGUGAUAUCAGCCAAUAAUGGAUGGCACUGCACCAUCCUCAUUUUCAUGCAUGAGAAAAACAAAGGUGCAUGGGAUGAAAAGCUAGGCUCGCCAACCACUAAUGCUCAUCGAAAUUUACCACAUCCAACCAAUGAAGUCUUGGAUUCCACACGUGAACUAAGGUGAUACGAAGAAUUAAUGCAAUGUGGUAUUAGUAUUACACUCGUACCACUAUAUUAUUCUCAAACUCUACCUCGCCACAUCAUCAUCGAACGGCACCACUCUCCCAUCCCCAUAUAUGUGAUCUCCUCCCAUCAAAAUGCAAAGGAUAAAUUAAAGCUGCACCCUGCCACUAUUGUUCUCCUCCUACAACACGUGGUAAUAGAGCCACAUCAGCAUCAUAUAUCCUACCACAAGUCCAUCAACCACUCUAAGCAUACCUCUAUGUUGGCUGGCGUCACCGACUAGCACCAAAAUGACCGUUAAUACAGCGUGUCGGUCUGCAUCGGUGCUUUGCUGGGCCAUCAUAACUUUAGGAUGGCAGAAAAUGAUACCUCCAAGCAUGUCUUCAUAGUGCUUCGAUCCUCUAUGGAUGUUGAAAGUCCUCAUGGCUACAUGUGGCAGUGGUGGAACGAGAUCAUCAUUUUCCGCAGCAUGAGGCACUUCACCAUUUCAGGCUAGCGACUGGGUCCCUCACCCUUGGUAGCUUAUCUAGAUCAUCAUGUUUUCAUCUUGCAAAUAUUUGCUUUUAAUUAAGGUGGAACUUCCUGGUAUAUGAGUAUGUUCACUAUCGAGUAAGCUUCUUAAUGGAACUUGCAACAUUCACUCAGUUUAUUUUUGCUCUACAAGAAAUAUCUAUGAUACCAAAGUUGUUUACUUGCCAAAGUCCAUUAGAGCAUUUGCAACUUACAUGCCAAGCCAUUCUCCUCUCGACUCCCAAAGAUUUGCAAUUUAUGCGCCCAUUUCCUUGACAACUACAUGCCAUUAUAUAUCGGUAUCCCCCUCCAAUCCUUUAUUGCUUCCACUCCAUAUCUCCCUCUAGAAACAAAAGCAACCAGCAUGACGUCUUCUACUCAUCCUUCCAACUACUCGAAUAAUGUGGAGGAGUAUGUCGCAAUAGGCACAGAGUAUGAGUUCGAUGGCCACCCAUUCUCAGAGGUAUUCUCCUCCGAUGAUGAAAAGUAGGUAGAGUUUCUGGAGGGUGGUGGUAGCCGUGGCCAGGGCGAUGGAGAUGAUGAUGAGGAGGAGGAGGAGGAGGACAGGGAGGAGGAGUCGGUGGCAGUGCCAGCGGUGGAGAAGGAGUAGGCAGUGGCAGAAGAGGCGCACACUAUGGUACCGGUGGAGAGAGGGUCCAAGAUUAGGCGGGUGGACGUCGAUGCCAGCGAACGGCCCUCUAGCAAUGUUGCUGCUGCUAGCAGCAAGGUCAGAGGAGGCAUCAUCGACCUAUUCCCCCACAAUAAUGCCACCGUUGAGGCAGCAUCUCCAGUGUGGGUGAACUCCUCGGUGGGGUCAUCGUUGAUUAAUUAGGGGGUUUCUUUUGCUUGUAAAGAGUAGGUCUUAGUAAUGGAUGCAACGAUUAUUGUUUUGGAUGUAAGAUCAACCCUCUAUUUUCUUAAUGUUAUUCUACUUGCAAAAUGCAUUGAUUUGUGUCUUCAUUUGGAAAGAAAUCAUCAUUUUACCUGGGUAGAUUAGACAUUAGGACUAUCCUACCUAAAGAUAGAUGAGACUUUGGAACUAAAUCUUGUAAACACUAUUUAUUUUGCUUCUAUCUUUAGUUUCCCCAUUGGUAUGUCAUGGCUUGUCAUGCCAUGUCUUGUCAUGCAUUUUUUAUUUAUCCCACCACAACUCAUGGUAGGUUGAAGUAGCCAAUGACCUGUGAUUGAUGAUAUUGAACAAUAACAGACUAUCACUUCCCUAACAUUUAACUGAUACAAACUAUAUAUCAUGUACUCUGCGAUUGAGAAAUUACCAGACUAUCCCUUGUCGUGACCAGUGUAGUAAUCAUUUUAUUUGGAAUUGUAUCUACCAUAAGAUUGGGAUGCACGUGGUGCCAAUUUUUCAAAAAAUAUAAGGUAGUCAAUUUUGAUAAGUAUUAUGAAAGGUAGGUGCGUAGGUACCAUAUCAAUUCCCUCUCCUAUCCACCAAUGCCAACCAAUUACACGAAUAAGAAGUUGUGUUCAUAGUAAGUCAUCAUGUUCCUUACUGUAGAAGUUGAUUUAAUCAUGCAUAGAUAUUUUAUUUUUAUAUUGAUUCAAAUUGGGACAGAUGAUGUCAUGGCAGUCCCAGUGCACUAGACACUACCAAGUUUUGCAUUGGAAAGUAGUGGUGUCUAUACCAUAGGUGGAGAAGGAAAAUGAUUGGUCAACAGGAGAGAAAGAACUAAGUGAGUAAUUAAUUGCUUGAGCUUUGGAUAGAGUUGUGCAUAGAAAAUAGUAGUUUCUAUAUAUCAUAGUGUUGAUAUAACAUGGUAUGGUUUCAUGUUUGGGACUACCCUAAUAAACCGCUCAUAUUGCAAUGACAUAUUAUUCUCUACCAUGACAUGAACAAUCUCAGACUAUCCUUUCACCUUGCUGAUUUUCCACAAGGAUUAUGGAAGGACUAAUCAUUGCAGAUUUGCUGUGGCUACUCACUAAGGUAGCAACAAAGUUCCCAUAACAUUUUCAUAACAAAUCUGCACUAAGAACACUAAUAACUAGUGAUAAUGAAUGUACCUACUACUGCUUCUUCUUCUCUUUCCAGGAUGAUGCAAUUGCAUCUACGUAGUGUUGGGUGUCAGUCUUAAGCAUCUCCAGCACCAUGACGAACACCAAUAGCUCAUCCUCCCUUAGGGACUCUACAUCUACCUCCCACCAGUUUCAUUUCCCUGCGCUCAUCUAAGCCGCCAAGAUCAUUCCCAGGCAAUAGCCUGACCCACCCCCUCCGCCUCAACUAGGGAACCGAUCUUCUUUGCUUUCCCCUCCAUCCUAGCCAUGCAAAAGGAAUAGAUGAUGCACUAAUGGUCACGGGGGAGUAGAUGUGGAGGAUGGCGUCAGUGGUGGGUGUGCUGUAGGUGUUGGCCUUGCUAGUGGAGGAGAAAGUGAAAACAGCGAUGUGGGUGUUGAACUCCUUGAAGAGGUCACAGCCAUGGAGAACAGUUUGUUCUUGCGCCUUCUGAAGCUUUCCGACGUUGAGCCUUUCUAUCGAUGUUGUGAAGCUCAUCUCCCAUAUAUUUGUGGCGGUGGCGAAUGGGAUACUGAUUCAUAGAAGAGAAUAUAAAAAAUAAGUAGCAAAGUAAUCCUACUACUCCAUGUGAAACGAUAUAGAUGAUGCUUAUCCAUCAAUCUUCAAAAUUUCUACUAUAAAUAGAAUAGGGAUGAUGAUUUGGGUUAGGCUCUAGUGUGGAUUUUUAGGUGGGGUAACCCGUAGCCUGUAGUCUUAGAUGGAGUGCCACGCAGUUCAUCGUGCGGGGGUGUAGUCUCGAGAGUCGGUGGUGGACUAGAGGUGGCGAACUCCUCGAGCUUCUUUUGCAUCUUCCUUUUCAAGUAAGAUAGUAUGAGUACAACAGACAUGAUCUUUCUUCUGGAUGUAGGAUUUUCUUUUGUGCCUUGAAUUGGGUGAAAUGCACUAUUCAUCUUCCAUCAAUAGGAUAUCCUUUGUACAAUUGUAGACUAUAUUUUAUCGUUAGUUUGAACAAGCACAUGCUAUCUUCUCCCUUUACAAUGAACAACCACAGACCAUCAUACUCUGCGAGACUAAACUACCAUGACCUUUCUUAUUAGAAAAAUUCUUAGGUCCACACUCUUACAACAGCACACCCCAACAACGAGAGCACCAUACAUUUUACUUUAUCCUAUAUUGGUGCACCAACUUUACUGAAACCACCAAUCCAGACCAUACAAAGACAUCUCUGUCGCACACCAACAUGGAACAUAUAGAUGCAACGGAUAAGGACGUGGCCACAUAGACACAACAAACAUGGUCAUGAAGACGAACAUGGCAUAACCUAUGCCUGCAAACCCGCUGCAGCACGGAAUCUAGUAAAACCAGCAUCAUCUCAAAGAAACUCAUCCAAUGCAUGAUGCCUAGCCCUCCUAUCCCAAUUAGCGGUACUCGAGCGACCAAUGCCAUAUGCAUACUACAGGAUAUCACAAUACCCCACCUCCAGCGGCAAGGUUGUAGAAAGGGUAAACAAAGUUACCGUCCUUCCUGCAGCCAAGCCAACACAGAUUUCUUCAACUCCCCCGUUUCAUCCUGCUCUGCUUGAUCCAUGUUUACUCAUCAUACGGAUCGACGAAGUCUAGCUGUUGUGGAGGUGGGAUGACCUCCAAGUUGCAUGCUCCGUUCGUUUGCCUAGCCAUCCUCCUACACAAAUAAACCAAUAGAACCACCAAGAUUACAAUGACCACAACAGUGAUCAUAACGUAUAACCAAGAUGCGUAAGCAACGAGAUCACCUAUCACAAGGCACAAAACCGAUGAGCUCGCCUACCACCACAAGUCACAAUGCAAGAUGCGCAACUAAUGAGCUAAUACACUGCCUGGCCACUCUUAUUAAAAAGCACCAUGUCCUAGUGCAUGAGAUUACAGUAUCCAUGAAACUCGAUCAGAUGCUCAGAAUAUGAAAGCCUAUACUGAUCAAGUCGCCUGCCACAAUUCUAGACCAGAAUCUGCAGUCUUUCACAAGUCACAAAAAUCGCGGCCCUCUGAAAUAAACGAAGGGUACAUGUGUGCACGUUGUUCAAGACAAAAAAAAAACAGGAUUAUCCUAUAUAUAUAUAUGCUCAUCGAAGGCACGAUGCCUAGCCCUGCCUCUGUCACAAGCAAUCAAAGCACCAAUGCCACGCACAGAGUGCAUGCAUGAUAUCACUGCACGUCUACCUCAUGUUAGAUGCGUGGCAAAAUGGCCUGCCAAGGGCAACAUAGUUUCGCACAACAUGAUUCCGGCAUAUGAAAUUAAGUGAAAGAACGUAAACUGUAGGAUAAGACAGGUCCAUAGCAGAAUCCGCAUGCUAGCACAAACCCCAAAUGGCCAAGGUUGCAUCUAAAAAAAUAAUUUAUUGAAACUGUAUCGAUUUUAUCUGUAUUUUGCUCACUAGUUUUAGAUGAAAUGCAACCGUGCGUGGGCCUAUAUAUUACACAUACUCGCAGCCCGUCACUCUGGUCGGCGAGAUGAAACAUACCCAGGUUCGCUGAGGCAUGGGUCUAUUUUAAAUACAUGCAGCCUGCCUUUGUGGUCUGCAAAAUGAAAUGUACCCAGGUUCACUGACACGUUGCUUUGAAACUGGCACGAUUUGUUAUAAUAACAAGGAAUGAUAAACCAAACCGGCGGAGAUAGGUGGGUUUUACUGGGGUCUAGCCACGCAGUGAAAGCAAGUGCUAUUUUCACUGUCAGGUCAUGGCUAGACCCAGCGGUGAAAAUCCAUCCAAUUGUAGAAAAAAAUAUAAUUUUUCAUAUGAAUUCAGAUAAACAAAUAUCAUAUCAAAAUUAUAGAAUUUGAAGAGAUCUAAAACUUUAUGGCCGAUAACCUUUUUAUUUGAUACAAGUUCUCUGACCUAUCAGACGACCUCAGAUGGAAAUAAGAUCAACCUUAAAGUUAUUGUACUCGACGAGAUCUGCAACUUUGUAGUUGACAAAGUUUCUAUUUUAAGAUAAUUUAGAGUGUCAAUAUGCAAAAUAAAAUUUGUACAUGUUAUGUGAAAAAAUUAAUCGUCUGCUAUAAAUCCGAGUUGUUGCGUAGCUGAGAUGAUGAGAAGGCACGAGCCUUGAGGUCAUGAUUCGGAACCGGCAGUAAUAACGAUAGAAGUUGCCAAUAACGAUGGUGAUGAGGAGUUUUAAGCAGCAGUGAUAAUAUUUAUGCAACAGUGAUUAAUGCAUGCAUUAAGCACCGCGUCAAUGUGCAAGAACGAUAAGAAAAGGACAGAAAGAAGUAGUUGUAGAAAGAACGGUAACGCAAAAGUGUACGUGGGUCAUAAAUCUUCUAUGAAUUGAAUAUUAUUUGCAUGAGACUAUUUCGGUACACGUACUACAUCCCGUUACGAACUUAGGGCCCGUUUGGCACGGCUUUGGCUUGUGAAAAAAUAACUUUGGCUCUAGCUCAUCUGGAAAAGCAGCUUUUUCUGACUCUGGCUUAUUUUGAAGGAAAACGUUUGGCAAAACGGCUUCUCCUAACUUUUUAGAUUGGAAAGAAGGUGUCAAAUGUCCAAAAUACCCUUAUAUUUUUCUCUUCUCUUUUUCUUUUUUUCUCCUCAUUUUCCUUUUCUUUUUCUUUCUUUUUUUCUUUCUCUUUCCUUCUCCCCUUCUUUUCUUUUCCCCUCCUCUCUCCUUAUCCAUCCGCUCCUCCCUCCCGACCUUAUCCGCACCCGACCGCCUGGCCCUCCUCCGCCCCUCCAGCGCCACCCCGCCGGCCCCGGCUCCGUCCGCCGCCAAGGCGCCGCCCCAGCACUCCUCCGCCCCUCCGCCGCCACAGCGCCACCCUGCCGGCCUCGGCUCCUUCCGCCGCCACGGCGCCGCCCCAGUCCUCCUCCGCCCCUCCGCCGCCACAGCGCCGCCCCGGCACUCCUCCGCCCCUCCGCCGCCACCGGGGACAAGGAUGGAAAGUGACGAGGAGGAGCCGGAAUAAGCCACUUUUUUUGGCUUCCGGUGGGUGGAGAAACGUAGAGACCGCAUUUUGCGGGGCUUCUACUGGCUUUCGCGGGUGAGCCGUUUUGCCUUCUCCCGUUUGGCACGGCUUCAUCAAAAGCCACCCUAGAAGCCGCUCGAUGAGCCGUGCCAAAGAGGCCCUUACUACGUACGAUUUAACCCACAGUGCACCUGUGCAACAAAGUUUAAUUCAAGGAGACCUGUGUGGAUUUUGAAUCCGCAAUUGUGUUGUCGUAUUCACGACAACAGUUCCAAUCUUUUCCAGCACUUAUUUUAUAAGUGACUCACAGUUCUCUAGUGUUCGGCUUUUGAUAGGGAUAUUUCACCUUGAUACAAUGAUCAAGAAAAAUAACUCUACUUAUCAUCUAAUUAAUGCAAAUAAUUUUUUCAUUAAUCCUCCAAUGGUUGAUGCAAUGACUCCCAUUUAUUACCGCGGCCCACAUUGUUGGCAAAUAGAACUAUCAUUUGUAAAAAUCUGAAUUUUGGAGAUAUACCUAUCAAAAUAGAAUGGAGGGAUAAUGUCGACAAAUUGCCAAUGUCAUUUCCAACAGACCGUUACUAAAAAUUACGGUAGAUAACAAGACUAGACAUUGUCGGCCAUUUCAAAAUAAAAACUGCUGGGAAAAGAUUGCCACUCUCUUAUGGCGUAUCACGUCACCCUCGCCCAUUAUAUUUAUGUGAACACGGUUUUAAUAUACUUCCUCUGUUCCAAAUUAUAAGUCAUUUUAGCUUUUUAAUUCAUAAAUUUUGCUAUUCACUUACAUAUAUAUUACAUCUAGAUGCACAGUUAAAUGUAGAACUUAGAGAACCUAAAACGAUUUAUAAUUUGGGAUGGAAGGAGUAGCUAGAAGUGCAACAUUAUUGCUCUCGGGUACUGCAUGCACGUCCAUGCACUGUUCGUGUUGGUCCCAAGAACACAACCCGUAAGGAUAAGCCACGAACAUUGUCUGCUAGCACUGGCAUACGCGGAAAGGCAAAUGUGCAUGCCUUGUGGCCUGCUGGACUGGACCACACAAUAGCUACUCACACAGACACACACUGCAUGGUCCUUACUGGAUAACGUCUGCUUGCGAGACCCUGAAGCCUCAGGCUGCUUCAAGUGCAAUGUGUGAUCCAUACCUGGUUAGAGGAGACAUGGCCAUAAAAAGAAUGCGUGCAUGCAUCGAAGUCACGAGCCAAGUCGAUCGAGAUCCACUGCAGAAAACAUUUAAUUUAUUCCUUUUGUCAUGUCUGGAUGUCUGCUAGUUAGCUAGGUCCUCACUACUCUCCAGCUUCACAUGGUGUAGGAGCUAGCAGCUGCUGGGGUUUUCCAAAGCAACUUUCAUGCAACCGCACUCAAGUUCUUUCUUUAUGGUUUUUGAGAAAUUUCAUUUUUGAAAUUCGAAACUUGAGACGUUCAGGGCGAAUCUAGUACCAUGCGAGCACGCACUAGGAGUUUAAUUUGACCUGAGUCUCACAAAUCGAGUCGGAUAUACAUGAAACCAGACAACAUAUAUAUAUUUAUUUAUCUAUAUUUGUAUCUAUACCUAUCGACAUGACAUGGUAUCUAUCCAUCCAUCCCUCGCGUGCUUAUUCUGUCGCUUUACUGGUUUCGGUUGAUGUGGCCGGCCUCCGGAGAAAGCUAAGAGGAGCGCGGUAACCAGCUAAAAAAAUUUCUAUCUACACCUCGAGAUAUUUUCUUCCGGCAUGAUGCCGCCUUCGUUCCGUCGUCUACUUCACCCCCAACUCCCAACUUUAAUACUAUGCAAAAAGAAAAUUUUCCAUCACAUCAAACUUGCGGUACAUGCAUGGAGUACUAAAUGUAGAUGAAAUUAAAAAAUAAUUGCACAGUUUUGUUGUACUUUGCGAGACGAAUCUUUUGAGCCUAAUUAGUCAAUGUUUGGACAAUAAUUCACAAAUACAAACGAAACGCUACAGUGUGCGCCAGCACAGUAAUUUGGCACCUCCCAAUUUGACCAACUAAAGGUAAAUAAAAGUUCGGUGGCGCUUGGUGACUGGCAGCUAGCUAACUUGCUGCGAGUCUGUCUGGUGCGUGAGGUGUCGACUGCGACCCGACGAGAAGGGACUGACCGAGCGACCAAGGCAGCAGAUCCAGUACGGAUUAUGAGCAUGACGCGCGAUCGCACAGGCAAGAACUUUUGCUUAAUUAUCUUUGCCGCAAUUAAUGGGCGCCGACCGGCCGGCAUUUGUACGUCACACUGGCUUGCGUCACCGGCGCUACGCAAGCCGAGCGCCGAGCGUGUUACACAGGGAUAUAUCAUGUCCUUUCCUAUCUCUACUUCAAUUUAUAAAAUAGUAUUUGUAAUUUUUUGUAGGACUAGUGAAGAUUUAACCUACACCACUGAUACAUCUAGGGUGAUAUAUAUGCCACACAAGGGUGUGCAUUCCAUAUUCAAUAAAACGGCUUGUAAACAUUUUUAUAAAUUUUACUAUAACGGUAUUUCACUGUCAAACUCAACUUAAUUAGAGAGCUCUACAAAAAAAAAUUGAGAGGAAAUGGAGCUAUUUUCAGAGGCAGCUCCUUGCCAAAUGUGAACCAAAUCUAGACAUCAUUUUUCACAAGGUUGGAAAGAAAAGCUUAUGCUAUUGCCCGAUGUGAACCACCUCUAGGAUGGUAAGAAGGACCCGCAAUUUGGAAAUGUGUAUUUCGCACGGAAAAAAAUGCAUGAGUUGUGUCUUUGUGCGCAUGGACAGCUCAACGGGUGUUAGGCUAUUUUCCAGUGGUGAGUUUCAUCUCGUAGUUUCCAAGAAUGAUAUGUCAUCAAAACACGUUUGAGUUGAUGAAUGAAACAAUACCCCUCAAUGGAGAGUUUCAAUUUACAAUUUCAUAGGCUGCCCAUACCAUUUAAUUGUGAGGCAUGUGAUUGUAUAUGGUCAAAUAAAAUGAAACUCUAUAACCCCUAAUGCAAGUUUCAAUAAGUUUCAUAGUCUUGAAAACAGUGCAUACACAGUUUCAUCCUAAUAAAACUCUUUCCCUCGCUCACUUCAUAAUUACUAUACCAUGUCAUCACAUAUGCUGAUGUGUCACCGUAUUUAAUAUGCAUGAAACCUCUAUGAAAUUUUCAUUGGGAUUAGCCUUAGGUAUCUUUUUUUUUGUGCCUAAAACGCGCGGUCCACUCAAGGGAUCACUUAUGGUGGUAACCUUUUUCCAUGGGAGGUAUUUGUUUUUGCGCAUGAACAACUUGACGAUUUCUACUUGAGUUCAAUCAUAGGGGGUGGCUAAACAGCUAUAUAAACAGGUUACUACUCACCUGCAAAAAUCAAUUUUGUAGUUUAUGAAUACAUGAUAAUAAGAGUAGAAAAGUAUGGUUCUUUAUGGUGAAACUUGCCUACCCAGGUUUGAGUCCUCAACUCGACAUGGGUGUUAGUAUUUUUCAGGAUUUAUUCCAAGAUUUAAACGGCACUACUCUUUCAUAGUAGAUGACAUGCCUGUCGACAGUGUUGCACCAGUGGUGACUUUAUCAAUCUCAAGUUUACCGGGCCAAUCUCUCGAUCAGGUGUGCUCAUAGAGGUAGGAUUGUGUGCAUGUAUUUAUAGGAGUGAGUGUGCAUGCAUGUUUGUGAGUGUCCGCAUCUGUGCUAUGUUUCAAAGAAAAAGUAGAAAAGUAUGUGAAAUAAUGGGUGGAUGGACUGAGAAUAUAAAAAAAUAGUGAAAAUGUAAAGUAGCAUGCAUGGGGCUUAUGGUCCACAUCUAUCCAUAGACAUAAAGUGUUCAAGAUUUACUCUAUUAUUGGUUUAUUACAUGAUGUAAAAAGAUAAAUGAAGAUAAUGACAUUCGAAAAGUAUUGGAUGCCCACGGGUAUAGUACGUGGCAAAUCCAGACUAACAAAUUACUAGUGACACCUUCAUCAUAAUACGGUCGGUAACUAGUGUCAUGUUUUCCCGACCGAAGGAAAACGAGUUUUGAAAGUUUUCGCCUAAAACAUACACACCUUACGUAUAUUGAUGGGAGCAUUAGCUAGGUCUAGCAUGUCAGCUUGCUUGCGGCUGGUGAACGUUCCCGAUCUGUGUACACACAUGCAGCAUUGCGAGCCGCACAUGCAUAACUCUCUUAAUAUGCAUAUCAUAUCCAAGGCUGAAGCAUGCAUGGAGCCCACAGCACACACAUACAUCUCCUUUACUCUAUGGCAGUAGCUCGCUGUACGCCGGCUAUAUAUGUGGCUCCACCGUUAGUUGAGCUAGCUUAGCUCGGCCACUUGUUCUUCUUCCUUCUUCUCCAACUUUCCUGGGAGCUGCGUCUACGUCCAUGUGUUCCGAUCCCAUAUGUUCAUACAUGUAUGUCGCAACUCAUGUGUUAAUUAUAUAUAUAUAUAUAUAUAUAUAUAUAUAUCCCUGGUCCAUUCUGAUGAACAACUAGCCUGCUUCUGCAUGCAUGUCCCUUCAGUUUGCUGGCCCUUAAUUUUCAGACCGGCCGGGUGGCCACUUUCGCCUCUCCUUAGUUCUUAUACAUCUCAGUCGUGCUGAUCUGGCACAGAUUUAAAGGGAGAAACUGAGAUUAUUGAGAGGGUUUGGGAAGGAGGGAUCUAUGGAGAUGGGCGCGAAGAAGAGCAGGAGCAGCGAUACUGCAACGGCAGGUAGAAGAAGCAGCACGAGCAACAGCAGCGGCGCUUCGGCGGUGGCGAGGAAGGAGAUCGAGAGGAGGAGGAGGCAGCACAUGAAGAGCCUCUGCGUCAAGCUCGCCUCCCUCAUCCCCAGAGAACACUUCCCCAGAGUAAGUGUGUGUGGCUGUGGUGACUUUGUUCUGACGCUGAAUUUUUCUAUUCAUCGGUGUUUUACUACGUUCAUAUUGAAGUGUAACGAGUAGUGUUGGUGGUUAUUACGACAAUUGUUGUUGUUACACAUCAGUCCUCCCUCUCGCCACAUGAAAUAUUAUUGUUGAAAGCUAUUGGCUUCUGAGCGGACAUUUUUGUAAUUUUCUUCGAGAAUAUUGCUGUCGUCAACAAGUCAACAACAAUGCUUCGCUCUUGGAACCGACAAAUUUGUUUUACAUACAUGCAUGUCAUGUUGCACUAGUUUUUUCUUUCUAUUAGGUUGAGAUUUUGGUCGGUAAAAAAAUCAAUUCAGAUAGAUAGAACUAAUAAUUGUGUGCAUGUAUAAUAUAAGUACAGGAUGCUAUGACCCAGGUGGGUAGCUUGAAUGAAGCAGCGGCGUACAUCAAGAAGCUCAAGGAAAGGGUAGACGAGCUGCAGCAGAAGAGGAGCUCUGCACAGCUCAUGGCCGCUGCCAUGAGAGGAGGAGGAGGAGGUAGCGCCGCCUCAACAUCGGCGGCGACGGUGAUGAGCGGCGGUGGCGGUGCGAGGUCGGAGGAAGCCGCCGAGGAGGCGCCAGUGGUGGAGGUUCUGCACCGCCAUGACGACGGGUCGAGCCUGGACGUGGUGCUCGUCAGCGGCGUGGAGCGGUCAUUCAAGCUGCACGAGGUGGUCACCGUGCUGGAGGAAGAAGGCGCCGAGAUCAUCAACGCUAACCUCUCCGUCGCCGACCGCAAAGUCUUCCACACCAUCCACUGCCGGGUACGCGACAAUUCUCUAAUGAGUAUUCAAUCUAUGCAUACUUUAAUUUGGUAUAUCAGAUAGGACAGAGGUCUCUCGACUCUUGCAGAUGCACAUCGUUGUGAUUAGUUUAUAGCUUCCAACGUAUAGUAGGUAAUCAACUUUUUCAGGAACAGUUAAUUAGUAGUGGACGCUUCCAGUUCCGGUGCCUGUUGGAAAGCCUAAAGGCGCCACUAGUAUAUUCAUAAAGUUUUCAGGCAACUACUCCUCCGUCGCUUCAGUUAAUGUGUCUUUUUGCUUCCAUCAGGAUAGUUGUAUGACAACAGUUACUAUAUUUUAUAAGGUUCAACAAUACUAAAUUCGCAUUAGUGCUUAAUAAUACUAUAAUAUGUAAAUAAUGUAUUGACAAAAUAAUUAUUCAAAGGUUUAUUUUAAUAAAACGAAAUAUGGAAGGAGCUGUAGUACAAUGAUCAUGCAGAGUAUUGGUGCUGCAAACAUUGCCCUAAAAAAGUUAACAUGAACCUGAGCCUUUGCAGAGGGUAUUUCCUCUAGGAAAGGGGGUAUCGGAAAACACAUGAGAUAGACCCGCCAAUUAUAUGUGCACCAUUCGUUGUUCUUGUCAUUACUAACGACAUCUUUUCCCUAGCAUUUUAGUAUUUUAGAGGUGACCACGAUUCUUCCAGAAGGCUUUACUUUUCUGAUCAGCUCAUUGCGAAAAUUUUGAUCCACACAUCCGUUCUUGCCAUUUCCUGCCUCUUCAAUUUUUUUUAGCGAAACACAUCAUAAGAUUUGAUAAAUAGGGAGCACCCAUGAUUUAAUUAAUUACUUUCUCUUUCUGUUGAUUUGUGCAUCCCUUUUUUUCUUCCAAAGAAUUUUUUUCUUUACUAAAAUUAUUCAAAAGUUGCCAGCCACCUGUAAAUCAAAAUAAAUGCAGUUUACAUAAGCACAUAAUAUUUGAUAAUAGGGUUUCUGAAGUGUCGAUAAAUAAUCACGCGUGUGCAAGAUGGAUGUUUUCUCCUUUUUGCAGUAAGUAAAAACUGUGGUGCUAUAUCUGCUGCUAGAAGCUUGCAUGCAUGCCUGCCGUCUGAUAUACAUUUAUAACUCACUUCAUCCUUCAUUUGUGUAACUGCAUGCAGGCCUUUAGCCCAAGAAUCGGCAUAGAGGUUUCAAGAGUUUCUGAAAGACUAAGAGCAUUGAUAUGAUAUGGAUUACAUAUUGCAAAAGUAGAAAACCAACGGAGCUCUGUAUCUAUUACCGAACAUUUUUCCAUAUCUACUUCCUACAUCCCAAAUUGUAAGUCAUUUCAAGAAUCUUGGAGAGUCAAAGUUUGACCAAAUUUAUAUGAUAACAUAAUAAUAUUUAUGAUGUCAACUAAGUAUCAUUAGAUUCUUCAUCAAUUAUAUUUUUAUAGUAUACCUAUUUGAUGUCAUAAAUCUUUAUAAUUUUCUCUAUAAUUUUGAUCAGACUUGAGAUGCUUUGACUCUCCAAGAUUCUUGGAACGACUUAUAAUUUGGAAUGGAGGGAGUAUGUCCCAACACGAUGUACAAAAAUAAAUAUUGUCUAAUAGUUCACCAGGCAAUUUUCAAAAGUUUGUUGGUUGUUUUAGCCACAAAAAAUUACAAGCUUGUUUGCUCCAGUUUUCUAGUAAACGAAUAUUUCGAUUGUGAAAGGAAAAGGAAAUACUUACUUGAUUUUUUAAAAGAAAGAGGAGAAAAAACAAACGCAGCCGUCGGUUCAAUCAUGACCAACUGAAAAGAUCUGCGACUUGUGUCCUACAUACGCUUCCAUAAUUAUUUCUUAUUUUUUUGUGAAGAUUUUUUUCUUAUAUUUGGUUCCAUCACCCAUGCAUGUAAUUUAAUUUCGUCGACAGUUUACCUAUAUUUUGUCCAUUUUAACUGGAUUCUUGAAAUGUGUUACCAGACAUCAGUGCAAUAAUACUCUGGUCAAGGAGCUAUUAGCUGAGUACUUCAUUUCAGCUGAGUAAAUUAGGGUCGGGUGAGGCACGGUACUUGCGCCUAGCGAUAUGCAUGGCUCACCCUUCAAAUGAUAGAGCUUGGCUUUUACAGUCUGGCAGCGCACUCUCGUUUGCCUCUAAAGUGACAGUGACAGUACUCAGCCAACGAGAUGAUUCAUGGCGCGCCACCUGGCCUGUAGGAUCAGAUCUCCUAACAGCGACCGCGUGCUUUACUAAACUUUUGAAUUUUUGUUUGGUGUCUCGUCACGUCGUCACUUGUCACGCACGAUCCGGUCCUGUGUGCACGUCCUCACAAGUCACAACAGCCUCGUCAUCACCUGCUGCGUGCAUGCAAAUCCUCAUCCAUUCCUCGCUAAUCCCUCCCCCGGUCUCAUUUUAAUUUGCUCACACGCGUGACGCAUUAGUGUAAAGUUUGUCGGAAUUCUAGCAUGCCUACUACAGUACUGAUUAAAGGUCCAACGACGUGACCAAUUAGUUCUGACGACUUCUGAGAAAAUAAAAAUGAUGAUGUGCCAGUAGGCAGUAGCUGCGCGGAGUCACUAACUUGAUGCUUCUCUUCCCCUCCUUGUACUGUACCUUUCAACACAUGUGCGGUUUAUUUUAGUCAACUUUGGGCAGCUAGCAGGCACGGCGUCUUGCCAUCGCGGGUUAGGGGCUUAGAGCUGUUCAAAGCCGCGUAAACGGUUGCGAAACACCAAUAAUACUCCCUCUAUCUCAAAAUAAAUAUUAAAUUUUAGAAAUAUUAGAUCAUUAUGAGUGCACAGUUUCAUUGUGUUGUUACCUAAACUGCUUUGUUGGUAACUGAGCCUACUUGAGCUGCAUUUGGCAGAGCUCACGGAGCAGCUUCUAGCCUGAAUUCAAGAGGAGCUCCGCCAAACAGUUUUCCAGGUAGAAGUGAUUCCAUGCUGAUUCUAUGAAGUAAUUCUCUAAAAUGAACUAAGGGGCCUUGAGCUUACUAGUUUCUCCUGAUUCACUUCCCACACAGAAAUCCUUUAGUCAUAAAUUCUAUAAAAAAGAAUCACUUCCAGCCAUAGAAUCACUUCUCAGCCCACAUAGAAAAUCAGAAUCAGGUGGAGCCCUACCAAACAGGGCCUGGUGUCAUGGGGAUGAAACUGCCCUAUCAUAUUUUCUCACAAUAAUCUUACCAAAUCUACAAAAUUAUUGAUAUAGCAUAUAAUUUAAUACCCAUAAAAUUUUUUAUAUGAAACUCCAUUGAGACUGUCCUUAGUAGUUAUAAAAAUGACUAUGUUGCCACUAAUUACUAAUGUAGUUGUGAUCGAAAGCCACGCAAUCUGUUUGGUUCUCUAGAUUCAGAAUAUAUAUGCAUGCAUAGGAAUUAGAAAAAUAGUAUCGAUUGAUUGGCUCCAUACACAUAUCCAUACGUUCAUCUGUUACUGAUUGAAUGUUUUUUUAUUUAGAUGAGUGUCACUAUAACCUAAUUUUGCUUCUUUUGGGACAAAAUUUGAAUGCUAAAAAAAUACUUAUUUGGGGAUGGAGUGAGUAUGUAUUCAUGUAUGAAAAAUGUCUCCAGUUGUGAAAAGAGGCACCAUCUCGUUAACGAUGACGUGAUUCUCAUUGAAUUAAUUGUUCUAGGUUAGCCUGAAUUUAGUUGUCGGGCCAUCUUAUCAGCAUUUAAGAAAUAGAAUAAGCUAAUUGAUUUUGAGAUUGACAAAGUCACUGUAGACACCUAAGUCAAAUCGUCUACUAUAUUAAAAUUAAUUAUUAAAAUAAAUUAAAAAAAUGAUCAAAUACCUAUACUAACUUAAGAACCUCAAACUUGGUGGAUAGAUUCCACCACAAGAAACCAAACCUACCUGCGCAAUGCUCAAUUCGCGACCAUCUGAUCAGGGAUCAGCUAUUAUCAUUGUGUUUGGGUGUGUCCCCGAAGUAACUAAAUUAUACUCUGACCGGCAUUGUCCGAGUGUACGUGUGUGUCUCAGUGUGUGCCCCGUCCCACUUCUUUGAAAAAAAGAAAAAGAAAAGAUUUUAUUAGUUAGUUAUGAUGACUUUAUUAGAAACAAAUAUGUUUAACAAAAAUCUGAACCUUUACCUAAAGCUACUAUCUUCUUCCUUCAAUUCAUGUCUGGUCGAGAGAGAGUUCGUGAGCAAGACCUUAUUUUCUAAUCUCUGGGGCACCAAGAGGAUUGAGCUUCCUCGGUUCCUCUCUGCUUCUGAGACUGUAUGAGCUACAAGAGUACAAGAGUAGCACGUAAAACGUGCUCAACAGGUAUCGCUGUUGGGCCCACCUAUGCAUUUUCAUUUUGGUCCCCCAGCAGCAACUGUAUGAGCUACAAGAGUACAAGAGUAGCACGUAAAACGUGCUCGACAUGUAUCGCUGUUGGGCCCACCUAUGCAUUUUCAUUUUUUUUUCCCCAGCAGCAACCAGCCAGCAUGGUUCCUGGGCCGAGAAGAUAGACGGCCCUCAUCCAUAGCAUUGUUUUUCACAAAAAAAAAAAAAAACAACCCACCAGCAUUGUUGGUACUGGCUGGAUGGGCUAAUCCCUACCAAUCGCUAUCUGCCGUAUCUUUACACUUAUUUAUUUUAUUGAAUUAUUAGUACCUACAUAAUGCAUCUUUACCCGUUCUCAAUUAUAUAACCCAGUACCGUAAAGUAAAACCUAUCCGGCUGCUCUCGUGCACCUGCAAGAUUUUCACAUAGUUUGUGUCGUUUUCACCGUGUCAUUGCACCACGGUUUUCUGGUGCAAGGAGGGGGGUUUUUUUUUUCCCUCUGACCAGGUGUCCAUGCCAAGGACUGAAGGAGGUAUGAAUCGCCGGACAAAACAUACAGAUAAAAUAAUAGCCGCUUAGAUUUAAUUUAUGUCACGUGCAUGGGAAGAGAGGCACCCUCAACUCGAUCGGUCUUGGCCUGAUGCCUGAAUGCGUCACUUUUAUCAUGUUCCAUUGAUGUUGUUGGGAAUAUAUAUAUAUAUAUAUAUAUAUAUAUAUAUAUAUAUAUAUAUAUAUAUAUAUAUAUAUAUAAGAGCAUGUGCUGCUGCUAGUGGACUGAAGAUAAUCCGAGGGUCGGGCUCAGCUCUGAACUCAUGGCUCCGUACCUAUACAAGACGAACCUAUGCAAAUAUCUAAAUUGCGCUGGGACGCACGGAGCUAAAUAUUUAAACUUGUUUCAUAUAUAUACACGGAGUAUGUUUAAAAGGCUUUGACCUGGCCGUCCCUGCUAGCUUGUCAACGGCGCCGGCUGUGUAAAAAUAAUCAGAUCUCUCGCUCAAACAAAGAGGCAACUGUGAACGCAGGAGGACGCGGAUUUGAGCCUCGACUGACGUCGAUCGAUGACCGAUGCACGCUAUACCUGUGGAAUAGCAUGCACGACAUGUCGCCCAUGCCACCGUCGUACUCUCUCCGUUCCAAAUUAUAAAUUAUUUUAAUUUCUUUAGUUAUAGGUUAUUUUAAUUUCUUUAGUUCCAUAACAAAUUAAAAAAAAUUAAAAUAAUCUAUAAUUUGAAAUGGACAGAGUGUAAUCUAACUUAUUUAAUGUCAAACCUAGUUUAACUUGUUUUAAUUUUCGACUAUAUAUUGACCAAACUACCCAUCUAAUUUCGUACUAUGUCGUAAUAAUGUUGUUUGGAGUAGUAGUUUGUAGCCGGAGCAAUCCAUCCGAGUGCUAUGUCGUAGUCUGACUUCUGUAUUCCACUUGUUAACUUGUCAGUUGUCGAUACUGGCUAACAUAACACCUGCACGCGGCGGCUCUUGUGCGCCUCCCAUUUCAUUUCAUAUACCAUGUGUCUUUUUCACCAUAAUUGAUUUGAAUUUAUAAAUAUUAUGCUAGUAGUACAAAAGAUAUACUCCGUAUCUUGCAUUUGUAGGCUGACCAGGUGUCCGUUUGCGUAACUCGCAAUUUUGGUAGCUGAUGUUAAGGAGGUGUCAACAGCAAGCAAAAGCGUAUAUAUAAAUUAAUACGCCACGUAUGUUUGCGCCUUAUGCACGUGUCGACCCGGUGGCUUGCAUUGCAUUUUCUAGAUAAAACAAAUGUGUUUACUUGUCCGUUGCACCGAGCAGGCGCUUACAGAUAUGGUGCCAUGGAGCACAGCUACAAUAAUUCGGAUGUUUGAUGCUAAUUAGGAGUAUUAAAUAUAGAUUAAUUAUAAAACUAAUUGCACAGAUGGAGUCUAAUUCACAAGACGAAUCUAUUAAGCCUAAUUAGUCCAUAAUUUGACAAUGUGGUGCUACAGUAACCAUUUGCUAAUGAUGGAUUAAUUAGGCUUAAUAGAUUCGUCUCGCGAAUUAGCACAGGGGUUCUACAAUUAGUUUUAUAAUUAGCUCAUGUUUAGUCCUCCUAAUUAGCAUCCAAACAUCCGAUGUGACACUGCUAAAGUUUAGCACCUAGUAUUCAAACAUCCCCAUGGUCAGCUUUGAAAAAAUAUGGUUGUAGGGUGUGUCUGGCCACGCUAUGCAGGCCCGCGCCACAACCUGUGGCGGGCUUUCCAGGUGCCACAGCCUGCCGUAGCAAAUGCUAUUAAGGCCUGGUUUGGUUCGGUUGCUUCCGUCACAUCAAAUGUUUAGAUACUAAUUAGGAGUAUUAAACGUAGACUAUUUACAAAAUACAUUACAUAAGCGGAGGCUAAACGGCGAGACGAAUCUAUUAAGCCUAAUUAGUCCAUGAUUUGAUAAUAUGUUGCUACAGUAAACAUUUGCUAAUGAUGGAUUAAUUAGGCUUAAUAGGUUCGUCUCGCCGUUUAGCCUCCACUUAUGUAAUGGGUUUUGUAAAUAGCCUACGUUUAAUACUCCUAAUUAGUAUCUAAACAUUUGAUGUGACACUUGCUAAAAAUAAGCAAAGGGAACCAGACGCCCCCUAACUGUAGUACGACAUAUUGUGCUGUGGCACGGGUACCUAGGUGUGGCGUGCUGUGGAUGGCAACAAGCAGCCUAUAGUCUGAACAGUCUCAAAGUAUAAUAGGUGCCUACCUAAACUGUAAGUUGACAUAUUUUCCUUCUAUUCUAAAUUGUAGGUCGUUUUAGCAAUUUCUAUGUGCAUAUAUAUCUAUAGAAAAACUAAAACGAUCGACAACGGAGUGAGUACAUAAGGAACAGAUAUCUACGGCAUGAGCAGACACGCGUGCUGAGUUGUCUCGUGGAUCCUAGCUUGUCAUCAAUCCAUUACUUUGUUUUCUUUAUUCACUGAUACAUUCUUUAUUUCCUCUAGAUAUAUGACGUUUAAGACAACCUAUUGUUAAACUAAUUUGUCUGUUCUAAACACAUCCUGCCUCAGGCGCACUUGGAGCUAAUAUAUUUUAAAUUGUUGCGUAAGCUUGUCACGUGACAUAUGCACUUUUCUUCAAUAGUUUGUACGACUUGAUCCUACCGACUCUUGUUAUAUUGUUCACUCUGUCCUAAAUUACUAGGAAAAUUAUGUUAAAAAAGUUAAAACGAAUAGUGUAAAAAUUAUCGAUACCCUAGUAGGCCUGUCCCACCUGUGUGCCGGGAGAAUCAUCUCGCUCAAGAAAGGAAAACGGAGCAAAGUGUGAAUGCAAGAAAAACGCGUGACUAUUAAUUUGAGCUUCUACAACAAUCGAUCGUUGACGCUACAAAAUUGUCGUAUAGUAUUGCGCUUGCUUGCGUUAUUGUAUUCUCUCCUCCCUCUCCUUCCAUCCAAAGUCAAAAGCAUCCACGGCAUACCGUACUUGAUACUGGUGGGCCCCUCAGCAUAGCAGUGAUUGCUUUUUACACUGUUACUUGGAUCGUGACACGCGUCUACGCGGUUCGUCGGGCGUUGCAGACGCGCCUUUUGAUGAUGGACGAAUUCGAUCUGGCAGGAUACAUAAUGCCAAAAUAUUAGCCCUUUGCGUCUCUGACAACACGUACUGCAACUGCCCUUGGUGAUUAGCUACGUCACAUGAGCUGUAGUCCGUUUUUUCAAGUUCGUUUUGAAUUUAUUAGAUUAGUAAAUUUUAUUAUACAUUUAGAGGUACAUAUAUCUAGAUGCAUAAUAAUUUAGAAAAGUUAAAAUAAUUUAUAAUUUGAAAUGGAGUUAAUGUCAAGCAUGUACACGUGGCAGGCCACUGACGAGCUAAUUAGCUUUGUACCGAAUGAGAUACAAAUCUACAAUCCUACAAGGCUACAAGCAUAUAGCACGCUAGUACGCUACGACUUGGCUUGUUUUCUAGGCCACGAGAAGAUGCAAUCACAAGAAAUGAUACAUAACACAUGUCAAAUGAGCUAUGUAUGCAAAUCAUCACGCCCCUCCAAGUGAAAUAAACUAAAAAAAGAAAGAGGGUUUAAAGAAGAAUAUAUCCUCAAAGGUGGAGUUCUCACUGUCAUUUUGGAUUCCACUAGGAACACCAAUAAAAAGGGUCCAUCUUUUGAUUACUUCUAAAUUCCAGUAUAAUGUAUUUCACCAACUUGCUCCAUCGAACAUGAAUCUCUUUGUCAACUAGCUUAUCCAGCUAUUGUUAUUAUCCCAGACUCAGAGAUGGCGCUGAGAAGACAAAAGCAACAUGAUAAUGGCGCAUUAAACAAGUACUAGUGGCACUAAUUCGCACGGGCGUUGAGUGUGACUGAUGUGACACGUACGGUAGGAAGCUCGAAAAGGAACAUGUAGGUAGGAUAGAGUAAUAAGCAGUGUAAAGAGUAGCAUCAAAAGAAAACCAACAGAACCAGCACGUUCAUUAUAAAAAAUAGUUUCAUAAUAUGCUCUUUCCAUUUAAUAUAUUAUUAUAUUUGUUUUGAAAAUAUUACAUAUACUUACUGAUACUGUUAGUCAGAGACCUUCUAGGUAAGUUAUAUUUUUCGACUAAAAGACUGUCGAGCUGAGUUGUUAAUUAGGAAGUAGCUAGACAUGUUUAGAUCAAUUAGAAUUAAAAUUAACUAGAUAGCUUUUUAAUCUUACUUUGAAGUGCAAUUAUAUUUUUACUCUCGUUCUUUUAACUUUGUGAUUUUGAUCUUAACUAUUCAGAAGUCAAUGCGAUUUUGUUCUUGAUCUUUGCGUAUUUGCCCAUGUUUUGUCUAUUGAUUAAGGGCAAAAUUGCAUUGGCUUGUGAAUAGUGAGGGCAAAUUCACUAAGUUGAAAAAAUAAGAAAAAAAUUACAAUUAUACUCCAAAGCAGGGGUAAGAACUGGGUGAGUGGAUUCCUAAUAUCCGCCGAUGGAUGAUUGUGGCUUCCAUAUUUUGAGCAAUCAACUACUCCCUCCGUUCCAAAUUAUAUGCCGUUUUGAUUGUCAUAGGUAUUAUUAUGCAUUUAAAUAUUCACUAUAUCUAGGCUUAUAAUAAUAUUUAUGAACUUAGAAAAGUCAAAACGAUCUACAGUUUGGAACGGAGGGAAUACUAGAUAAGAUAAGAUUGGGCGGUUAGCGUUCAUGGAAAUCCCAAUAUCACCCGUGUCCCGUCCUCGCUUGGCGCUGCAUAAACAUGACGAGCCAUGCAGAUUGACCGCCUGCUGAGACCUCUUAGGCUAGUCCCAGGGCAAGGUUUCAUUGCACUGUUUCCAAGGAUGCCACAUCAUCCCAUGAGGUGUAUUCUCAUGAAUGAAACAGGGAGUCCCAGUGCACAGUUUCAUUUCACGAUUUCAUAGGAUGCCCAUGAUAUUUAAUUGUGAGGCAUGUGAUUGGAUAUGGUUAGAUGAAAUGAAACUCUAUAGCCCCCAAUGCAAGUGUCAAUAGUUUUCAUAGUCUUGGAAACAGUGUAUACACAGUUUCAUCCUGAUGAAACUCCUUCCCUCUCUCACUUCAUAAUUAUCAUGCCAUGUCAUCACAUAUGUUGAUGUGUCACCGUAUUUAAUAUGCACGAAAUAUCUAUGAAACUCUUACUGGGAUUAGCCUUAAAAAAAUAAAAUAAAAAGCUGGUCAGCGCGUGAAAGCCCCGGAGCCGGUCUUCCCUGAAACCGCGGUUUCCACUGUGCGUCUGUGCGUAUCAUCGCUCUCAUCCAUCAAUCAAUGAUCCGAUUCCCCAACCUCCCCGGCGACAACUCCGCCGAGAUCCCAUCCAUUCCAUCUCCCAAAAAAAAAACAAAGCGAAUUUCCCCAGCCGCAUCGCGGAAAGCAACACGGGCACACGUAGCAGUGCCGCAACGUGCAGUAGCAACAGUGCUCCCCGCGGGCCCCACACGAUAACGCGCACCCGGGGACGCGACCGGCCCUUUCCUGCCGAGUUGACCGCCAAGCGCGCGCGCCCAUCCGCGCCGUAGGUGCGCCGGUGGGCGGCGCGGAUCGCCCUCUUCUCCUCGUCUCCUUCCUCCGUCCACCCCCAUCCAUCUCAUCUCUCAUCCGCCCGGCCCCGCCCCGCACCCCACGCCUCCCUCCUGUAUAAAUGAGCAGCCAAGCCACAGCUCUGGCCAAGACAACCAGCUCGGACUCCAUAGCUCAGUUUAUCAGACGCUGCGCAUCCUGUCUCGAGACUCGAGGCUGUGAGCCGGCCGGAGGAGCAGCGAACUGAGCUGAGGAGACACUGAACCCGUCGAGAUCGAGAUGAAGAGCCGGAGGCAGAGCAGCGGGGGCAGCUCGGCUGGCGCCACGGCCGCGGGGGAGGGGAACACGCACAGCAGCGGCGGCGGCGGGGGGUGCAAGCUGGAGAGGAAGGACGUGGAGAAGAACCGGCGGCUGCACAUGAAGGGCCUCUGCCUCAAGCUCUCCUCCCUCAUCCCGCCCGCCGCCAGGCACGCCUCCCUGCUCUCGGAGGCGGCCGCAUCGGCGUCCAAUCCCAACAAGGUAAAUUAACCCCCUCGCUCCUCCUCUUUAAUCCGAUACAGCAGAUUUAAUGAGUCAAUGGCGUCCUCGAUUCAUCCCGAAACACGACGUGUGCUGCGUCCGUGUCCAGAUUUAGAACUAGUUUGAUGUCCCAAAACGCAUUAUAUUAGCCAAAAAUGAAAAAAAAAUGGAGAAGAACAAGAAGCCAACUGAACAGUACUAAAUCUGUGUUAAAAAUAGUAACAAGGACAAACAAAAAUCACUGAAGCGUGGUGUACAUCAAUUGCUGACAGCUAACAGGGUUAGAGAACGAGUGCACAGUAAAACGUCCUCGUUCACCUCAAGUCCACUGGGUCAGUUAAAAUUCUCGUCAUGUCGCAUUCGGUGCCCCCCUGAAGACUGGAGCUUACCACGGGUUGUUUAAAUUCUCUUAAUAGCAAUCGGAUGCUUCAACUUUCAACUGCUAAUUAAGUCCAUCCGCUAUUACCUAUUUGUAUCAAUCUUCAUAGGUGGAAAAAAAAAAGAGACAAAGCCAUUCGUGUUUGUAACUGCAAAAGUAAGCCAAGAAUUGAUUUUUUUUUGGCGGAGAGUAGAAAACACUUAUUACAUCAAAUCAUAGCCUACGUGUGUAAAACAAAAAGGGUAUGAAAAGGGGCCGAUGCUCAUUGUUUGAGUACAGAUAAAGCAGCAGUGCUGGUUCAGUGAGUGAUCGCCACACCGAUUCGAUUUGAUUGGAUCUGAUUGGAUCAGUGGAGCUGUCCGCUCCUUUCUGUGAUUCCUGCCCCCUCCCGGACAGGCCCGGGCAUCGCAUCGAGCCAAAGCCCGAGCCACCGGGGCAGUCACGUUUUCUUCUGAAAAACGCACAGAAGAACGCUAGCCUAGCCCCACCCACGUCCAACGCUGAGCUCUCUGUUCGUUCACCCACGUGCCAAACUGCCAUGGAUUCAAUCCGAUCCAUUGGCGUCUCCUCCCCCUCCUCCUCGCUGUCGCCGCCACGAGGGGCGGGGCCCGCCCAUCGGUGGCCUGCCCGUGACAGCGACGCGGUUGCUCCGGGGUCACACGUCACGUCUCAGUGGUUUAUAGGCACGUGCUGGGUUCCGACGAACUCGUGGGCAAUACAAAGCUGCUAUCACCAGAUUCUUCGAUCGGAUAAUACCCCACUCCACUGAUUAUUGUAGUGAGUGCUACUACAUCACAAAUAAAACGGAUUCUUUUUUAACGAUCCUUCAGCCGGCAAAAGGGCUUGGGCUCAACCCCACCACAGAUCACUUUUGUCUGUGCCUCCUCCGUGCUCUGCUCUGUUCUGCUCUUCUCAACUCCCCAAUAAUUCAGAGUUUCCAAGCUCGCCAAGCCACCUACCCAUCAUGCGAUUGGGACGCUUUCUUAAUGAGUGCCAACGUGCCAUGUGCGCAAGGGAAAACUACAGUCGCCGUCGGAUGAGCUGUAGCUGGACGCUGACGCGGCGGCUGCUUCUAUAGUUUAGCACCCGCACCACAUGCUCCAUUGCUGGGGCAAAAAUGGAAACAGAAAAUUAGUGGAGUACAUCCGUUUACCGGCAGUUUUUUAAUUUUACCCGAUUUUCGCAAGGGUGAAUGGAUCGUUGUCACUGACGGUAAUGUAUGUUGGGUUUGUCGCAGGACACGGUGACGCAGCUGGAUCAGCUGGACAGCGCGGCGGCGUACAUCAAGCUGCUCAAGGAGCGGAUCGAGGCGCUGAAGCGUAGGAAGGAGGGCCGCGGCGGCGGCAAAGGGGGCGCCGGCGCUGCCGCCGCGCCUGUGGGGGGCGGUGCCGGCGGCGUGCGGAUGCCGGUGAUCGAGGUGCGGUACCAGGACGGGACGCUGGACGUGGUGCUCAUCAGCGAGGCCGAGCGGCCGUUCAAGCUGCACGAGGUGAUCACGGUGCUGGAGCAGGAGGGCGCCGAGGUCGUCAGCGCCAGCUUCUCCGUCGUCGGGGACAAAAUCUUCUACACCGUCCACUCGCAGGCGCUCAGUCCGCGGAUCGGGCUCGACGCCGCCAGGGUCUCCGAGAGGCUGCAGGACCUGCUGCUCCUCGUCUGAUGAUGAAUGACCUCAGGAUCAGCGACAGUACUAAGGAAGACUGUAUUAGAGUAGUAGGCGAGGUCAGGACGGACGGAGUGCGAGGUAGCAGAGGGAACCAUAAACCGGCUGAUCCAUGGAAAGGGAAGCUUGGUUUCUUUGCAGUUGUGCAUAUGUAGGAGCAAGCAAGCAGACUGCUUUUUGUUUUUUGGUUUUUUCAGCUCUUAGAAACGGCCGGUGCUCUACUACAGUGCAUGCAGCAUGCAUCUUGGCUCUGUUCUGGGGCUGUUUCAGGCUUUCAGCUUCCUGGACUACUGAUACUUACCAUGGAAUUGGAUGCCCUGCAUGUUGCAGCAUUUUCUGGAGCUAAUGUAAUGUAACACAAGCUUGAGCUCGUUUGGGCCCGUGACCGUGCUGCCGAACUAGACGAGUUCAGAUGUUUGAAAUCAUGAGUGCAUAUCAUGUGAGACGAUUCUGAUGAAGAAAUUGUGAGUGCAGAUCAUACAUUCCACGGAUCGGCGCUCGACCUCGUUCAUCGAAAAGGGGUUCCGUGCUGAUUAAUGUAAUAAGUCUGGAACCGUAGCAACGAGUCAGUGGGCCUGUUCGCUUCAGCUUAUUCAGCCGGCUUAUCAGCCACCAAACAGUGUUUUCCUCUCACAACAAAUCAGCCGUUUCAGCUUUUCAGCCGGCUUAUAAGCUGAAGCGAACAGGCCCAGUGACCCCUGCCUGUAUUUUGGGUCGGUAGCCGCCGUAGCUUCCUUUACCUGAUCGAGAGGGACAGGACAAAACUUUCAUGAUUGAGCUUACACACUUGUCUUUUCCUUGGGUAAUCAGCUGCCUAACCAUCAUCACAACGCGUGCAGUUGUUUCACGCUUUCACUUUCACUAACAUUUUCCAAAUUAAACGCAUAUUUUAUACUUUUUUAAAAAAGCUUCCAAGCAUUUUUUGUGUACCCACGUGCUGCUUAGUUCGUCGUCUUCACGCAGCGGUAGGUCGUCGCCUGGCCGGUGGACCUUUUUGCAGCCGCCGUGCACGAGCAGGAAACCGAGCUACCCGCCGUGUCCCAUCCCUAGUAUCUCUCUCUUCUCAGGCAGUCUUGUUUCUUGUGUAUAUAAGUUAAGUUAAUAACCACGUGCCUGAUGUGCUAAUCUAUUUUAUUUUAUUUAUUUUUGUGCCAAAGGCGCCUGAUGUGCUAAUAAUAAACAACAAUACCUGAUACAUAUAGUGUGAACUCUUGAAAACAAUAAUCGACUUUGCUACUUGCAUAACUUCGUUCGCUUUCUUUAGACGAAUUUUGUCAUGUUUGGGUGGAGCCACGGAGGGAGGCAGGGAGCGAUAGAGAUAGGGGAAUGGAGCAAAUGUUGUGAAGACCACGAGCACAGAAACGAACGAUGUGUUGACUUUCUGUCCUCCAAAUGUCUAUAGGCCGAGAUUGGGCUUACAAACUCCGAGCUCCAAAGGUUAAAUAAACUUAGGGUGUGUUUGGAAUGGAGGAUUUUCAUAGGAAAACAGAGGAAUGCAUUCCUUAGAAAAGUUUUGUCAUUUUGCUGUUUGGAAUGGAGGAAAGUUGGUUCACAUUCCAAAGGAAAGGCUCUUGUUCCUCCACAAAACGUAGGGAAAAAAGUAUCCACCAGAACCUAAAGGAAAAUUUCCUGUGAGUGAUUCGUUGUGCUGGCGCUGCCUGCAACUUGCUAGAAGCUGUCAUUGCUGCAUCCAACGCUUUCACAAUUGUGAUUAUCAAAAAAAAAAAAAUACUUCACGUACUAUUGUUGCCAAAGUCUUUGGCUUAAGGCUAGCAUUCUCUUGUCAUUGCUUCUAUGGUCAAGUGAAUAGCGUGUGCGAGCUGUAGAAACAGAAAAUGAUGGGGAUGGAGGAUUAAGAAAGAAACGAUAGGAAGAGAGGGAAAAAAGAGGAAGGAACUAGAAUCUCAAUCAACGUGGAAAUCUAGCUUAAUUAAAAUGGAUAUGGUGGGAUUUUGUUUCAUGAGCACUGAUAGGGUCUUAUUAUAUUUUCCUGCGAUCCAAAUAGCGUAAAGUUUCCAUUCCUAUGUUUUGACAUCCUGUAAUUUUUUAUUUUUCACCACAUCAUGUUCGUACAUUUUCUCCCAUUCCUCUAUUUUGCAUUCCUGCAUUCCAAACAGAUCCUUAUACGAACGUUGUUUGGCCCAACUAGAGGAAGAUGUAAGCAAGAGAAAAGGGGCCAAAAGCCCAUAUCCAAAAAAAAAUCUUGAGAGUAAAACGAAGUUGUUUGUGUAAGCUCGGCUCACACACCCAACUCAGCCCAACCCAGCCCACCCUUGCAAACAAGGGGUGUACUGACUGGAACGUGUAGCCCAGCAUGGAGGAGGAAAUGGUAAGCUGGUGACCAGCCAGACCAGCCAGACAGACAGACCGGGGCAGCGCGUAGUCACGCUCACGCUCAGGCCCAGUUGACGUGACUGGACGCGGCCCGCAAAUCAAAGCCUCGCUUCCUCGAAAAAAACAAAACAAAAAAACAAAGCCUCGCUGCAGAUUGCACUUUUUUUUUUGGAAAAAACCCAGUUUGCACUUCCAAUCUCCCAUUUCAGUAUCAUCAAAUUACACGCCAAGGCAAUUUUGGUACAUUUUGUUUGUCUCUAUGCGCUUUGAAUAGCGAAUGGGUUAUGACUCCUACCAAUAUGCAAAUUAUCGUUACACAUGGAUGAUCGGAUCCCAUAACUUCCAAUCAUGGAGCCAUGAUGUGUGAUGACAACAAACGCUCCAGCAUGGAGCCACAAUUGUUGAUGGGAAAAUAGAACUCACGUAAGCAAAUCUAUUACGAGUGCAUAGUAGGUGACUUAAGCCAUGUGAGCGUGGGUAAGGAAGAACUCGUUUGGUGAGGGAGAGUCAUACAAUGGGCCCGUUCGCUUCAACUUAUAAGCCGGCUGAAAAGCUGAAACAGCUGAUUUGUUGUGAGAGGAAAAUACUGUUUGGUGACUGAUAAGCCGACUGAAUAAGCUGAAGUGAACAGGUCCAAUAACGUUAUACUGUGCAUGGUAGCCAUCAAUGAUAGUAGCUCAUAUCCCCUUCAUAUAACACGUGUUGUCCCAUCUCUUUCACUAACAGUUGCUUUUGGCUAUCCGUUACAAUGUAAGGAGUCAAACAAGAACAACUUCUUGUUACUUGGUUUACGUUAUCAGAAUUUUGUAUUAUUUUUUCAUCACUUUAUCCAGUUGUUUUUUGAGGACACCUAUAUUUCUGUCCGACGUGGCUCCCUAUGAGAACUAAAACUGUCUGACGUGGCGUGGGUAGCUUCGUCAUUUCGCAAAAGCAAAAAUGCAACAGCAGGCAGCGGCGGGGCGGCGCCCCUACCCAACCCAGCCCCGUUUCUGGACCGCUCCUCCACUCAACCCCAGUCGACCGUUGGGCUCGCCAACGUUCCAAAUGUCACGUGAUCUCCCCCUUUCCCACCUCCUCUUCUCUCACCUCGCGCUCCUCCCCCCCUCCUCGUAGAUUACCGUUGGGGCGAGUGCGGCGCAACCAAACCCAGCUGCUAAACCCGCGACAGGACAAACAGCUCAAAGUUCAUCUCGCCCAGCUUGAUCGCACUUAACCCACCACUCGCUCGCGCCUGGGAUUUUCUUGGAGAUCGAUCGGUCGAUUGCUUGCCGUCAGCCACCGGGAGAGCGCUCCCUUCUUGUCUUUCCCACGCCCCAGGUAAGCUCAAUCUCUCCUCGCUGCUUUCGGAUCGCUUCUCAGUUCCGUCGGUCCGAUUCUUGGGGUUUGUCUUUCAUAAUUCCUUGCCUGGGUUCUUCUUGAUUCCAAAGAUUGAUUCUGUUCUGGCAGAUUUCCUUGAGUCGAAUUCUCGCGAUUCUAGUUCUUUCGGUGCAAAAUUGGCUCCGAUUCGAUCGGGCAGUUCCGUUUGAUCUACGAUACCUCAAAACUGAUUCUCUUGCUCUUGUUUGUGGCAAUGGGGAAAAAAUCCCCCUGUUCGAUUUCGCCAAGAACAGCGUUCGCGUGGGGAAUUCUUUUUGCAAUCAACUGAAACUAGAUGUGCUGUGAUUCUAAUUUCUCUCUCGAGUUCUGAAUAAUCGAUCUCCACCACCAGGUUGAGACUGCCGGCCGCGGAUCAAAAGUUCAAACAUGACGACGCUGUCUUCCGGCGUCCUCCUCAAGCUCCUGGACGGCAUGAAGACCGGCGCCGCCAAGCCCGUGGGCGAGCACCGGACGGCGGUGCUGCAGGUGACGGACAUCGUGCCGGCGGAGCUGGACGAGAAGGACCUGUUCCCCAAGCACGGCAAGUUCUACGUCAAGGUCUCCGACGCCUCGCACUCCAUCUACGCCACGCUCCCGCUGGCGCAGGCCGACCUCGUCCUCUCCAACAAGCUCCACCUCGGCCAGUUCGUCCACGUCGACCGCCUCGACCCGGCCUCCCCGGUCCCUGUCAUCGUCGGCGCCAAGCCGCUCCCGGGCCGCCACCCGCUCGUCGUCGGCACGCCCGACCCGGCCGCCAGGGCCAAAUCUGCCGCGCCGCGCAGGGGGUCCUGGGGCCCCGAGCAGAACGCCAGCAUCAAGCCCACCACGCUCAACUUCGACGCCGAAAAGACGCCGGUCAAGGAGCGCCCGGCCAUGUCGACGCCGGUCAGGGAGCGGGUGGGCGCGGCGACACCUGUGAGGGAGCGCGGGGUCGCGGCGACGCCUGUGAGGGAGCGGGGCGUCGCGGCGUCGCCGGCGCUGAGCUCUGCGUCGGUGAGGAAGAGCAGCAGCGUGCUGCCCAGACUGCUAACCAGGAGCAAGAGCUUCGUAGCAGACAGGGACCAGCAUCCCAGGAUCCCCAAGAGCCCGUUCCCCACUGUACGGUCAAUCUCAACUGAAAAUGUUGGGGGCAAAUUGCGCAUUUGAUUACUUUCAGACGUGAAAUUCAAUCUUGAUUUCUGAUAGUGAGCUGCAAUGCCGUGUAGGAGAAGAGCUCAGUGAGCUGUACAGCCUCGCGGGCGACGAGGAGAGUGGCGAAGGAGGAAGAGCCCUCCUCGCCUCCUUCAGAUGAUGAGCUCGGCAGCUCGGCGACGUCCUCCAAGAAGAGACCGUCAACGGUUGCUCGUGUGCCGGUGCCAGGGAAGCUCAGUUUACUUGGAAAGGUAUGAUCAGAUCGAGCAGCAACGUAGCACACCGUGGCCAUGGAAUCGAGUCAUGUUUGUCUUUGUCUGAACUGGUUUCUUUAUGCUGUGUUCAGGACGCCAUUGAGCAGAGGGAGCACGCGCAGAAGGCCGCUCUUGAGGCGCUGCGCAAUGCCUCUGCCACCGACAACGUGGUCAGGAUCUACAAGUACGUGUGAUUUCUCAUGGCGAUCAGAUAGUGAUUGCGUGUGUGCGAUGAAGUGCUGGAUGAAUGUGGUGACCAAAGCUUGAUCUGACGAUAUCCGUUGCUGUUGCUGAACAACAUUGCAGGAUCUUCUCUGAACUGAGCAAGACGGCGAGACCGGACACGCCGGGCUCCUGCUUCGACAGCUUUCUCAGCUUCCACCAGGAGGCCGUGCAGGCAGUCACCGACAUUGAGGCGAUCCAGGCGGCCACCUCGAUGGCCGCUGCCGUGGCGAGCGACGAGCAGCCCGAGGACGCGCCGCCGGUCCUGCAGGAGAUAGCCCAGAACAGGUCAGUCGUGCGGCGGAGAGGCAUCGGCGGUGGCGUGUCCAAGUCCGUGUCGUUCGCGCCCGGCACGUUGGAUCCGAGGCAGGACGACGGCGGCGGCAAGACCGUCCGGAGCUCGAGUGCCAGCAGAAAGUGCCUCGCCAUGGACAAGAUCGGCGAAGACGGUGGCGACGAGAAGAGAUCGUCCUCUUCUGCUCCUCCAUCUGCCACCGCCACUGCCACUGCCCACUCUGCUCUGGGCUCCUCGCUGAAGCUGGCGAAGCAGAUACUGGCCGAGGCGGGGAGCUGGUUCAUGGAGUUCUUGGAGGCCGCGCUGGAGACCGGGUUGAAGAAGAGCAAGGCAUCGGCCACGGGAGACGGGCGGAAGCAGAGCAGCUGCAGCUGCCCGCAGUCGCUGAUGCUGCGGGUGAUCAACUGGGUGGAGAUGGAGCAGAGCGGCGGCGACAGCAGCGGCAGGAAACCGGCACACCCGAGAGCUGCUGCCAUUGCACGGAAGCUCAGGAUAAAGGCGAAGAACCCUUGAUGCCCUGCUAGUUUAAUCAGUGUUGCUCUGAUUCUUCUAGAAACGGUAGUUUGUUGUGGUAGAAACCUGUAGACGGUGAACAUUUUUACGGAAUAAGAUUGUUUCAAGUGUUCUUGAAGUAGGAAUAGGAUGACCGACAACUGCCUGAUCAGCCGCAGAGCAGGUGCUGUACUGAAAUCACAGUAUUGAUUGUGUUAGUUAUUACUCAUUCUUAUCACUUCUUCUGAAAAAUUCAAAGUACCUUAAUAACUCUUUUUAAUUGGAUAGAUUACCGAGUAGAAUUAAUUAUGCAUGCACGUUUGCAGUAAUUAUCGUACCUAUUAGCAGUUUGGCUUGAGCAUCGAUGGUGGGAGUAAAUGAUCGAUUCGUUAACUAGGUCAGAAGGUAUUACGAGGAUUUUUAUUGCAUUGUUUGAAAAUUAUAUAGACAUGUGAUAAGUUUUGAAGGCUAAAUGAACAGUCUUUGUGGAUGGAGGGAGUAGUGCGGUUGCAAUUUAAAAGUAGGAUUGUGGGAGUGUCACGGUUAUUGUGCAAUCAACUUUGCUCUGGCCACAAAAUCCCAUGUCGAAAUUUUAAAGUCUGCUAAAUUAGAUUUUGAUUAAUCGCCUAGACUCACCCACACAUGUUUUCAACCUCAUCCAUUCCUAAUUUCCUAUCCAAAUCGACCAUCGCCUUCAUCUGUUCCGACCACUGGCACCACCAAUGCAGUAAUGCCUGGAACAACACUUGCAUUUGCGCUUAUUUCUCCUUGGUGCCGCUCUCCUUAGCACCCAUCUUCUUCAUUUCUCACGAGCGCUCUUAUCCCCACUUCUCUCUUCGGUGGCUGCCAUGGCUAAGUUAUUGUGUCCAAGUUAUCCUUUCCUUCCCUGCUCAAACAAAAAAAAAGAGGAAGAAUGGAAGAUGUUCCUCUUUGCAGUUCCUCAGGACUCAGGAGUUAUAGGUGGUGCCUCUCAAAGGGAAGGAGAAGGCGAUGGGUGCUUCCUUGAGUUGAGUUCACGAGAUAACCCGGGUGAGCUCACCAGACCAGACAAAGAAAUGUUUGGGAACACGAAACUAGGACCACCGCGGGGUUCGGUCCAGGGCGUCCAGCACGCAGCCGCCAGGUCAGCCAUCACACGCCACCUCAGCAAGCAUUUUACUGGCCAUAAUGCCGCCAGGUAAGCAGCAUACGUGGUACACCAGCUGUAUGAACGAUCUAGCAAUAUUUCGUUUUUAAGGAACCCUGGGCCCCACAAACACCAGUAUGGAGCGGAAUAUACUUUCCCCGAAUGUAGCGCUCCUCCCACGUCGCGGCUCGGUUCCCCCACUUUCCCCCCUCCACACAUGACACAUGCACCACCGGCAACUCCCAUCGCGUGUCUGACAUGUGGGCCGGAAGAACCUCGGACCCACAUGGCAUCCAUAUGCUAGAACAGGCGAGCCGCACGAUCGCCGAAGCUCUUUCGGCACGGCACGUUCCGGCGGCGUGUCUCUGGCUGGCACGCAAAAGGGGAGGGGAGGCGAGGCGAGAAGCGAAGCUAACGGAGGGACGGCUGGGCCCCACACGCAGCCGCGUAAUCAAAACAGAAAAUAAUCCUCCUCUAAUCAAGCUGCUGUAACCUCCACCAGGAUCGCUCUGAACUUCCUCUUCCAAUCCUGCCGGGGGAUCACGACGAGCGUGGAGUAACCACCCCGCAUUGGCCAAUUUUCCGUUUCCGUUAUUAAUCCGCAUCCAAAACCCCCCUCUCGCUGUGCCUUUGCUCCCUGCCUUACCCUUUUUCUCGUCCUCCCCGCCGCCUCGCCCGUUCCAGCUUUCCAUUGCCCCCAUCCCCGCCUCCAAAAAGCACAAGCCCGGAAGCCCCACCGCUCGCCCCGCCCGCAACGCGCCCCCACGCCGCACGAGCGCGCGCUCUCUCCGAACCUUCGGGAACACCGACGCGGCGGCGGCGGCGGCAUGGGAGAGUACUGCGCCUCACCGGAGGGGGACUCCGCGCUGGCGGCGGCGUCCCCGGCGGCCACCCUGACGUUCCACUCUCCGUCCCCCGCGGCGGCGGCGGCGGUGGCCAGGCCAGGGUACGGGAGUUGCGAUCGCCGGUACGUGAAGCAGGUGUUCGACAACCUCCACGGGAGCAUCUCGCUCGACCCGGUGCGCUCCGCUCCGCUGCCUCCUUCCUUCCUUCCCUGCCCCUCCUCUCUCCUAACUCAUUGCUCGUGGAUUGGUUGAUGAUCCUUGCUCCGCCCUCGCUGUUCGGGUGUGGAGGAAUCGUUGGGUGAUGCGUUCCUUGCUGCUAUUCGUCGGUUUGGCUUGCCGCUUGCGUUGCCCCCCCAAUCCGCAUUCCUUGUUGUUUGGUGGCCACGCGGUGCAGGAUUACGCGACGCCCUCUCGGUUUUCGUUAUGCGUCUAUUUUGUUUGAUUCUACGUUCUCUACUGCCUCUUUUUAGUCCAUCGUUGCCAUUAUUCUGGUCGUGUGAAAGCAAUUAGUAUUUGCCACCCUGGAAGGGUUUGCCCCGCACCUUCAGUUCGUCGUGCCAACUGCUCUGGUAGAUUAGUAGAUUCCCAUCUCAUGUGUUUCUAGUAGUUAAGCAUGUGCCGUAUUGUUUAGUUUUAGUAUUUGGGCCUGUUGAAGUGUUGCGCGUUGAUGUUGGUGUGGCGCAUGGACUCACAUUGCAUGAUUAACUGUGCAUGUGGCGUCAUGUUUUUUUUGUUUUCAAUUAAUAAAUUCAAUGGGGGUAACGUUUUAUGUCCAUGCUAAAACUGCACGCAACAUGCCUAUUUUAAUCUAGGAGUAACUGAAGAAUAAUACUACUCCACUAAUGCUACCUUGACAGCGACUGGUAUUAUUUUUGUUGACUUUUAUUGGGUCAUAAACAAGUCUCAGGUGGGGUAUGUGUAAUUAAAAAUUGAAACUGUAUCAGCAUUUCAAUUCUCUAUUUUUUGGGGGGGUAGACAGUUUCAUAUGUGUGAUUGACUCCACUGUGUUGGAACAUCAACUGCAGGUGUACAUGGCAAGUCUAUUCUGCCCCCUUUUUGAUUUGGUUGAUAUACACUUUACAUCAUUGCAUCUAUAUAUCUUACUCUCUUGAUUUCAGUGCUUUUGAUAGCCAUGGACCCAAUUCUUUUUCUAAAUAGCAUUACCACAUUAGCACCAGGCCCAUUUCCAGUGAUAAGUAAAAACUAUGAUGAUUCGUAUAUUCAUAUUUUAGGAAAUUUGGACCUUAGCAGACUUCACCAUUAGGAUCAAUGGGAAAUUUGUUUGUUCUAUUUCUGCAGUAGUCAUUUGGGCUGUUCAAAAACAGGUUGACACUAAUUGCACUAAAUGAGCAUGCAUGCUUUUGCAUCUGCUGAAGUUUGCAUUAAAGCAUUUGUCUGUAACCUGUUUGGCUUGGUUUUCAUAUCCCCAAUAGUCAUGCCUGGUACCUAUGUUUUCACAUUUCUGGCAAAUUAACCACUUUAAGGUUUAAUGCUUUGCAUUUGUAUUAAGGCUACAAUACAAUUUGGAUGUGCUGAAACUGAUGUCUGACAUAUAGUUCUCUCCUGAACUGGUUAUGGCGUUAUUCAAGUAAUUUCUGCUGCUCAAACAUCCCUUUAUAAAAUAAUAUAAUCGUUACAAUCUCUGCCUUACAGCUUGCUCUGCAGUUUGUGGACACUGAGGAAUUUCAGAGGUGGCUAUGGUUUUCCUUAAUUGCUUCUGCACAAUUAUCUAUUCAGCUUCUUUGAUUGCCUAUCAUGAUUUGAUUUUAAUGCAUUGUUCCAUUUAGGUUGCGGGACCUAAAACAACUUGGUGAGUUCAGUUUCUCUGUUCCUCCGUGAUAUCUUAGUAGUUAUACUUGACAGAAAUUAUGAAAAGACAAUGGAGUUCCGUUGCUUGUUAGUGAAUGUUAAUAUGUACAGAUUUAUGUUUAUCCCUUUCUGGCCCAUGUUGGCCUUAUGGCCCAUUCGGCCCAUACUUUGUAACCCUAGACUGGUUAUUCUUCCUUCUUCCUAACAGUGAAGAGAUAUUGGCAUUCAAGCAGAAAACACUGGUGGUUCAUAAUAUUUAGUGUCACUAAAUGAGCAUGCAUGCUUUUGUCAUUUGUAUUUGAUGUUUACAUAAGAUGCUUUCAAUAAUUUUCAGGUCUUACAUAUCUGGUCUAUCCUGGAGCUGUUCACACACGCUUUGAACAUUCACUAGGAGUUUAUUCGUUGGCUGGGAAGGCUAUGAAUAAUCUUAAAACGUAUCAGGUGUGUAUAGUAUCAAAUCUCAAUUCUUAAAUUGAUUGAAAUCCUGGAAUUUUAUAGCUGAAUAAUUAAGGGUAAUGUUUUCCUUCGACAGGGAGAAGAGCUUGGUAUUGAUCGCAUCGACAUGCAAACUGUGAAGCUUGCAGGUUGGUGCACUCAUCUGGGGCUCCAUUAACUAUUGAAUAUCUUUAUGAUCUUUGUCAUAAUCUUGUUCAGGCCUCUUGCAUGAUAUUGGACAUGGCCCCUUCAGUCAUUUGUUUGAGCAUGAGUUUCUUCCUCGUAUUAAUCCUGGCUCAACCUGGUGAUUCUCUUUCAGCCUUUGGCGCCUUUCAUAUAUGCUUUCAAUUAUUUUCAAAUUUCUACUUUUGCUAUCCUAUUUUUGUUAUGGUUAGAUACUUAGCUUCCAUGGCUCAAAAGACAGGGCCUAAGGUUACUCUACUGGCAUAGCUGUUUCAUGUGUAUGCAUGUAUAUGUUCUCUUCUCUGGUGAUCAUAGUUAUAGUGAAUUUUGUACUUUAAUUGCUACUCUUUAUGCCUUUUGACAUCCUGACAUUAAAGUCCCAUGCUCAUCGUUCAUUCUUAUUGAUUGAUGAUAUAGUGUGGUCAUUCCACCAUUUAUGAAGACACUCAUGUUGCUAUGUUAAAUCUACUUGGGAUUCUGGUUGGUCUCUUAUUUGCUUGUUUAUGCUCUUUCAGGUCUCACGAACGUAUGUCAGUACUGCUGUUGGACAGUAUUGUUGACAAACAUGCAAUAGAUAUUGAAGAUGAUUAUCUCAAAAUGGUCAAGGUAUAAACUUCAUUUUUAUUUCAGCCCUUGUGCGGCACACACUAAUUGUCACCAUCUAGCAAAUUAUCAUUUUUUUUCUUUAACUUAGGAUGUUAGAAGUCUUUCGACCUCUCAAUAUUGAUGAAUUCACUUUAACAUGUUAUGUGAUUUACCUGUUCUCUUUAUAUGUGGAGUAAGCAGGGGGUUACACAUGAAAAGAAAAUUAAAAAAAUCAGUGCAUACAACUCGUUUACUAAUCACAACACGCAUAUAGAAGUUACCAACCUGCGAUUUUAAUUUAAAAUGUUUUGCAGGAGAUGAUAGGUGCCAGCUCUAAGUCUGCCACCACAAAAGUAUGUAUCUUGUUCUCUGUUCCCAGCUUAAUUAUCUAUCUGUAUUGAAUAUGGAUUGCAUAAUUUAGAUGAAUUUGAAACCUAUUUCUUCAGAGUGCAAAGGAUAAGCAUUUUCUUUAUGACAUUGUUGCUAAUGGGCGCAAUGGUAUAGAUGUUGACAAGUAAGGGCCAACUUUCAAUUGAACUAAUGACAUUUCCUGCUAUAUGCCCAUAGUGGUUUCUGCUAUCAUCUGGUUAUGUUUUAAGAUAGUGUAACUGCGCAGGUUCGACUACAUUGACCGUGAUUGCAGAGCAUGUGGUCUUGGCUCUAAUUUCCAGUACUGGAGGUACAUUUCGUUUCUGUUGUUCUACCUGUGUUAAAUUCUUGUUUUCUGCUCUCCUUGUUGAGAAUAGGAAUCAAUAUAAUCAACCUUUGUACAAUAAUUUCAUCUCCAUACGCUCUAGGUGCUGUACGUUUCAAACAAGGUGCCCUUUUCCCCCUUCAAUUUUACAUGGUCCAGUUGCAGUAUUGGGGUUGCCCUAUGAAAAUUGCAGCAUUUACGUUUGAGCCAUUUCUUCUGGGUGAUUUUGUUGAUUAUAGAUUACAAAUGAUCAUUCAUAGAAUAAAAGACUGAUUAAAUGUGAAUGUAAAUAGCAGACAAACUGGAAACAUGUUAGAAAAUAGGUUUCCUUUUCCUGUUCUGUCAUGAUUCUUGCUGUGUCUGUUACCUUCGGUAUCCUACUGAGCCACACUAAGCGUAUGCCACUUUAUCUACACAGAGAAAGGAAUCUCGUUUCUCCAUUGGUAAUAUUAUAGCUGGUGUUAAUCAUACACUAGAAAUUUAGACAAGGCCUUGUAACUUUUAUGAUCAAGGACCCUUGUCUUGCAAGCAUUGUAUGAGACUUGGUUAAAUAAUUGCAGAAACUUACAGGUGUUAGAUAGUUGGCACGUCCUGUGUUUGUAGGAAAAGCUCAUAUUGAUCUUUUGUUUGCUGCUAGUACUGCAAGUCGUUAUUACAUCUUGUAAAUUUAUAUUGCCUUUUCCCUGCAGGUUGAUGGAGGGCAUGCGAGUGAUGGGUGAUGAAAUUUGCUAUCCUGCCAAAGAUUGUAGGUGCUUUAUAUAUAGUCCUCACCUGCUUAAAUUUUAUCUGUUCUAUUUUCCAUCACAUUAAGACAUCAUAACGUGACUUGUCAUGUCUUACUGGGAAUUAUAGACUUGAGCAUCCAUAAAUUGUUUUCAACACGUGCUGAUCUGCACCGGACUGUCUACACCCACCGCAAAGUAAAGGUAUCAUCCAUUGCCCUACUUUUGUUGUUUCGUCAUACCUUUGUUUUAGUUAUUACGUACAAAAAAGACAAAAAAGAAACACAUUUGCAUCAUCUAACAACACCAGCAAGGAAAAAAAACUAUGAAUAAGUCCAGCUUGGAGACAAUAUUUGUGUAGCUUUUAAAUCACUCAGGAUUCAGAUAUACUCCUGAUUGGAUUUCCUGUUAUCACUGGUAUACAAUUGAUUCAAAGAUUUUCUUUCAAUUCCUACAGUGAACAUCCAUAUAGUGUUAUAUCAUAAGGUGAUAGAUGAAGUCUAGUUGACUUUUUUUAGUUGGCCUAGCUUUAAGUAAAUGAGUCUCAUGUUUCCAAAAGUUAAAUUCGUCGUUUCAUAGAGAUUUUAAUUGUAGGUGCAUUUAAGUUAUACUUGUUAAUUUUUUUAUGCACCUGAGUUAUAUUCAUGGCCAACACUCUUGUAGUGUAGUGGUAACUAGUAAGCUCCCUAGAUCCAGGGUUCAAAUCAAGGUGGUACAGAAAAAAAAACUCUGCUAGCUGCAACCCAGAAAGUAGUGGCAGGGCACCGGCAGCCCGAGGCACCUGUGGUCACCAUCCUAGAAGGUCGUUGUUGACCCAGGUUACGGUGCGGCCCUAAAGGGUGAAGCCAGGUUUUAGGGGGUUUCUUGGCCCGUGUGGUUGAGGCUUCUUUUUAAUGAUAAGGCCUCAAGGUGGUUGUUCCCUGGGGUCGAGUUUUUCUUUCUUCCAGUCCUGUUAUGGUAUAUUCUGGUUCAUUCUCUAACAGUCCUCGAUCUUUAGGCUGUUGAACUCAUGCUUGUGGAUGCGCUCAUUGAGGCUAAUGAUUACUUGGGAAUAUCAUUGCAUGCAAAUGAUGCAGAAGAUUUUUGGAAGGUUUGGUGCCAGUCACUGUUAUUUUAUUGUGUUCAGAGUUAUUUUCCAGUCUAUCCAUCUUACUUCGCCUGAAAUUCCAGUUGGAUGACACAAUCAUUAAAAGCAUUGAAACUGCUCCCAAUGAUGAACUGAAGAAAGCAAAAGAAAUCAUUCAACGUAUUCGCCGAAGAGAGCUCUACAAGGUAUAGUAUGGUUUUUGUCAAUACACUGCUUCUAUAUAAGUGCUAUUUUGUCAUGUCACUUGUUACGUGCUUGGUGUAAGCAUUUGUGUUUUAGGAGAUUCUGUUUCUCUUACACAUGCAGUUGCGUCUAUGUCCAUGAAAUUAAUUUGAAUUAAUGAACUCUGCUCAAUCUUAUACAUUGAAAUCCUGCAAACUAUUAUAUCACAGCUUCCUUAGAGCAUUCUAUUUUGUAAAUAAUUGUGCUGGAACAAAUCAAAUUCUUUGCAAACGUAGAUGAAUCUAGUGAUGAACCUGUUUCAUCAGAUCAUAGCUGCAAUAAAGUAUACUCAAGAGGAAAGGUUGUUUUCAUCUUGGGAGAUCUGAAUGAUAAUGCCUACGUGAAAAAACAUAGAACUGAUGCAACAUGUUUAUGCAUCAUGUAGACUGUAGUAUAGCUAUUCUGCUCUUACUAAAUAGAUAUUGACAUUUUUGCUUGGGUGAGUUUGAAAACAACUUUUCUGUUGAAUAAUUGCACGGAUAGCAUCAGCUCUGUACUGAUGUACAUAAUACUUAAGCUUAUCUUCCUUUUUUGUAGAAGUUUUACGUUAUUCUAUUUUGUCGAGUUGCAGUUUUGCAAUGAGUAUUCUGUUCCAAAGGACAAGCUGGAGCAUUUCAAAAACGUAACUGCACAGGACAUAGUUUGUUCACAGGUUUGCAUCUACUUUUGCUCAUUUUUAAGCUGGCUGCAGUAACCUGACCUCUGAAGAAAUCUACUCUUCAUUUUUCUAAUGUUGACGCUACUGUCCUUAGAAGUCUUCUGAAGUGCUGCUGAAGGAAGAGGAUAUUGCUGUCAGUAAUGUUAAGAUUGAUCUUACUCGUGGAAAAGACAACCCUCUUGAAAGGUUUUGAUGUUUAAAUGCUACUUUAUUUUACUGAUUUGAUUUAAUAGGAUGUAUCAAAAUUCUAACCAAUUACUCUACUUGAUGUGCAUACAACCAUUCUCCAGCAUCAAGUUCUUUAAGGUAAAUAACUUGCUUUGGAUAAACUCUUCUUUGAUUGAUGGAGCUGUUAAUUCAGUAACUACUAUGUUCUUGCAAAAUCAUGAGCAUAUGUCACCAUCCAUCCUUUAUUAUUUGUGUUCUUGUAAAUCUCAUACUUGUGGGCCAUUGUUAUUGCUUGCAUGGCAUUUAAAAUAUCUGUUGUCCUAAAUGUCGUCUAUUUAAAAAUGGAUGGAGCACUAUUUUUGUAGCUGCUGACAGAAUAUAGUGUAUUAAGCCAUUGGGUAUUUAUACAUAUAUCAAGUUGUGAGCACCAUAUGUUUUUGGGUACCUUCUAUUACUAUGGUUGCGACCAUAUUUUCUGAAAAGGCUGGAGCAUAGCUCUUGAAUGUUGAAGCAUAGCUAUGCCUGUUUUCCGUGUUGUUUUUCUGAGCUACAUGAUUAAUAACUAUAGAUGACCCAUGAUAGAUGUCCUGUAGGAAUUCUCUGGAUUGAGAUAUCUCCUAGUUUCCCAUUUGGCCUGAGCAGAAUUUUUUGUUGUGCCAGGAUUUUGGAUGUGAUGAGAAGUUCACCAUCACAGAUGACCGGGUCAGCCACUUGCUACCUGCCUACAAUGAGGAUAGAAUCGUGAGGGUCUAUGCUAAGAAGCCGGAGCUGGUCAGUGAACAUUUCAUUCAUCUACUUGAUUCCCAUCAAUUACAACCAGUUUCGUAAUGUUGAUGAAAACCUUGGUUACAGGUGGAAGCAGUGUCAAAAGCCUUUGAGAACCUCCAAGUGAAGAUGUAUGGCGAGAAGACUCAAGUGCACGAUACACCCAAGAAGAAGAGGCUUAGAUCCAACUAGCCAGUUGGGUUUUGUCAAAUAUCAGUCUUUACAUAGUAUACGACACAGGAAAAUAGCUCUGACAAACGAGAAGAAAGCAACCUCUAUAGCUACAACAUCCCAGUAUUCACAGAUUUUAGGUGGUAGUCUGCACUGGGAAGGUGUGGAUAUUUUGUACAGCAGGCGACAUACAGACAGAACCUUGUCUGAAGUGUAAAAGCUCUCCUAAACUAUGCUACAUAGGCAUAGGAUGGAUAGCUAGCUGCCUAGCUCGAUACCGAAUGCUACGUGGUUAGUACUUGUACUUAAUACGCAUCAUCAACUAUUCAACUCUACGGAACUUUUUUUUUUUGAAAAAACAAUCAUGGUGAAGUGGUGAUGGCGAACCACCCCAUAGGCCAUAGGACGUUGCUCUGUUUGUGAUAGAAGUGCUGGCAGUGUGCUGCGAGAUGGGAAUUGCAAAAUGGAAAAUAAUAAAAAGAAAACACUCCUAUUGGGGAAACUAUUUGCAAAAUUAUGGAAAUAGGAGUCAGCUUAUACUAACAUUGUCCCUCGUGUACAGCUUAUACCUUAUACUAACACUAUCCCAAUAGGCCAAUACUAACUGUUACCGUCAUUCUCCAUUUUUUUUUUGCCUUUGGUUCAACACAAAAGCUUAAUCUUAUAAGAAAAAAUUGGACAGUUCACUUAUACUAACACUAUCUGUCAUAUGCAGGUUUCCUCAAGUCUCAAACAUGAAAAUAUGAGUGAGCGGCAAUUAUUUUAUCACGCCGACCAGUAUUCGACGUAUCAAUUCAAAGAUUCAAGGUGAAUUCACCCGUACUUCAACGAUGUCCGACAGCGGCGGCAUGACGUCUCUUGCUUUGAGCAGGUCGCAGCUAACGCGCGCCUGUUUUCCCUCUCCUGCCUGCCACCGGCUGCCUGCCUAUCGGGGAGCAGCAAUGCUAUGUUGUUUAUGUGUAUUCGAAACUUGAAAUGCGGUCUCAAAAGCACAUCCCCUUUGAUAUGUAUACUCAGGUUCAGGUCCAUAAGUCUAUGUGACUAUUGGUGUUUGUUCGUGGCCAAAAAUUGCCACACCACUGGGUCACAAAUUUUUAAGCUGUUAUAUUAAUAACAAGUGCCUUGUCAUAGUUUUAGCCCACUUUGCCAUAGGACUUUUCCUUUGCUAAACCAUGAAUAAGAAUUUAACUAAGAGGUGUUAGAAUUAGGCUAUCAUUCAAACACGCCUAGUUUCUCAUGCCGAGACAGCAGAUCAUCAGGCCACAGUAAAACCAAAUGGUGCCAAUCCCUUAACUUUCUUGGAUAAACCCAACCCAAACCAAACAUGUUUAAUCUCACGUAGGCUAAACUUUUUUUGAAAGGGGCACGUAGGCUAAACUGAGAUGCCAUGUAGGCUAAACUAAUGACAUGGCAAGAGCGAAGGGAUGCAUUUCAUCUAAAUGAAACCAGAUACACACAGUUGUCUAUGUCUAGAAACGAAAAGGAGCCCCACCUUGUUUCAUCCUAUGCCUUGAAAACAGAAAUGAAAUCCCGCUAUAACCAAUCGUUUUCACAAGAAAUUAAACCGUACAGCUGUGGAGAUAUUGUUUCUUUCAUCAUCAACCCAAACUUAUUUGAUGUGGCACUUUUAAAAACAACAAAACAAAACUUUCCAAUGACUCAUGUUAGUUGUGACCAAAGCGUGCUAUCUGUUCAGUUCUCUAUAUCAUACGCAUGUAGUAGAACCAUCAAUUAAUCAUUUAAUUGGUGCCUUAUACGGUGUACUUCUCCGCAUGGUUUUUUUAUAUGGACAUUACUUUAAUUGGAUGGACCUUAACUAAAUGAUCUAAAAGUUAAAAAUACACCAAAUUUAAAUGCUAGAAGGUUAUUUAUUUUGAGAUAGAGGGAAUAUUACUCAUUAGCAGUUAGCCUUCUCUCUCUUCAGCAUUCUCGGUCACAUAAAUACAAGUAAAGAGUCUGAUGCGAACAUAUAUAUAUUUAUAGCUAAUUAAGUUGUAUUGAUGGAGAAGAAAUAUUGUAGAUAGCUUGGGCAUUUAAAGGUGGCAAAUUAAGUUGUAUCGAUGGGAGAGGAAAUAUUGUGGAUCUUGGGCAAUUAAAAACGGGUAAAAGUACCAUUACAUGAAGGCUUCUUCUUUCUAUGGACGAGCAUGUCACGUAGACAAAUGCUGGGCACUACCUUCUCAUGGAUGUUGUGGCGGUCGCGCAAGAUCUAGAGAUGUAACUAGCUAGGUGGCACCACUCUAGGAUUUGACCUAAGGUUUAAAAGUGUUGUCUAAUAUUAAAAAGAUUGUAUAUCGACCAUCCUAUAUUUGACUUAUUAUAUCUAGAUGGAACGUUCUUGCUCUAAAUUCUAGCUAAUGAUGAGAUCUUGGAGCGUGGCGCAAUAAGAUAGAGUAAAGACUAAUAUUAUGUUUCUACAUGCUUAUAUUUAAUAGCUCAUCUUACUCACUGAUUUUCUACUUCAGUUGAGGAGAAGAUGCACCAUUAAGGCCACCAACAAUAUUCCACGUGCUCAAAAACAACCCAUAGUCUUUGACUACUAAGCAUGUGGAUGUCAUGUGCUAGUUUUGACUAGAAGAACUUUUGGAAUUACCACCAGCAUAAUGAUGAAAUGACCUCCAACCAAGAAAAAAAAAGGAAUAAAUUUCUCUCAAAGCUCCGUCAUAUCAGCAUACACCAUCAAACUAGUGACAUCAUUCUCUCAUAACUCCUGGUAAAUAACGAACCAGCUGAUAGCUCGGUGGUUGAAUUCGCUCGUCGCAGCGGUCGUGAGCCCGUGUUCGAGCCCAACUCGAAACUAGGGGUGUACCUUAUAAUUAAAAUCUGCACUACAGUUGUGUACCUAAGCGGAAAGUCAGAGACACCGAGAAUUUCAACCAAAGUAGAGGAGAAACAGCCCCCGCGUCCCAGUUUUGAUUCGAGGAGUCUUCCACGCCAGGUCGGGACGGCAGGAGGGGCUGCCAAGAGGAGACGCGCAGGGAGGAGCGUGUCCGCGGGCUGCACAACGCAGGGGAGCGGCGAGGUGGUGGGCGGUGCGGGCGCCGUCGGGGGUGACGAGCCAGCGCGCGACAGUGCCUGGCCUCCUCUCCGGCAAAGUGACGGGCGGCGCGGCGCUGCCGUGGUGGUGGGACCGGAGGGUGACUGCCUGGACGAAAGCCCUUGCCGGCCUUCGUGCCGAGGCACAUGACAACGGCGUCCUAUGUGGCAGCAGCUGGUGGCGGCAAUCCUGUCGUGUGGAAAGCUUGGCCUGCCGAGCUCACGUGGCGGCAAUCACGAUCAUGGUGGCGAUAAGGGGUUGUUGUACGGUGGUCGAUUGGCUACUUGUAGCGGAUCACAGCGGCUGAUGUUACUUGGUAAUGGUCAGUGCAACGUGGGACUGCGUCUUGGGACGGUGCUUGCGGCAACGACAUCGUGGGACGACUUGGCUUGUAGCGGAUCGCGGCGGGUUUCUCAGCUCGGCUGAGCCAUCCGGUGCAGUACAUCGUCGGAAGACGGCGCAAGCGUCAUACUUGGCGCGCUGAAGCGUCGGUGAAGCAACGAUGAGAGGCAGACCUGCGGCGGUGGCCCGGCUGUUCGAUGGAGAUCUGAGGAAGUAGGGCAACAUUGCUCACCACACUAACAACAACACAAGAAAUGGAUCCGUGACAUGGAGUUUCGGGACGGGCGAGGCGAGCACAAGAGCGAGAUGGAGUCCAACGGCGAAUGUAGCGAGGCCCCCACGCGUCGUGUACCGUGAUGUGGCUGCGAGGCAGCUUCUGAGAGGUCCGGAUCCGGAGAUAUCACUCUGUUAGGUGGAGUGUGGUGUCUGCAGCAGCACUUUGGCGGAGGACCCCGCAUGGCGGCGACCUCUUUGGUGGGGUGCAGUCUGCUCCCGUCAGGUUCCUGUCGACGCAGGGCCACUGAUGGAGGUUUUGACUUUACAUGUGGGUGAUUGUUGGUGGGUGCCACCGGAGAGUGGAGUGGGGAGGCCGCAUUUCAGUUGAGUGGUGACCUGCGUUGAUGUCCCAGUCCAAACGGGUGAGUUCUUUGUUGUUUUUUCUUUUCUUUUUCUAACUAUGACCUCCCAGGACUGCAAUCUUAUAAUUUUCUACAGUAUCAAUACAAUACGCAAUAUGCGUCGUUCUUUCAAACGAUUCAUAGACGCGGGAAAAAAAAACUCUCUGGGCAAGUAGUGAAAAUUUUGAUUUCCAAUGGAUAACGUUCUGAGACUGCAGCGCGAGUAACGGCGAAUGAUUCAGCGUAUCAACAAGUAAUGGCUUUUCAGCGAGUUCAGCGCGAAGAAAAACCCGGGAAGCGGAGAGAAGCUUUCGCAUGUCGCACGGCUGAUUCGCGGGGUCAUGCGGCAGAUGGAUAUUCUAGUUGGCGAUAUUUACCUGCACUUGCCACUUCUAUGAUCCCCUCGCCUCCUCCUCUGACCUCUCCCAUUCGGUCUCCCCUGCCCAACUGACUCCUCUCCCGCACCGCAGAAGAAAGCCCCAACCGCUAGGGUUUCGCGGAGCGGCCGCCGGCGGCCGGGGAUCCCGCCGGCUUCAUUUCCGUCCGCGCGGAUCUGAACUCGCUCCUGCCUCCUACCUUCCGACGGGAGCCGCCUCCUCGACAGUGCCGCGGCUCCCCCUCCCGCGCUUGCGCCAGCUCGUCCCCGCCCGGCGACGCCGCGCCUCGGAGGCUCGGACCUCCUGGGCUCUGUGGCCUCGACCCGUCGCCGUGGCACCUCGUCCCACCAAGCUCCUACGUUCCCCUGGUGCCCGGCGCCGCUCCAUCCCCAGCAGAACCUGGACGCCCCCCUGCUCAAGGUAGAAACGAGUUGCCCUCUGCUUGUUUGUGCAAUUAACAGAUUUCUACGUGCGCGCGUAUGUGCCUGUCAGCCUGUAUGCAAUGUUUAGGGCUCUGCGUGCAUAGCUAACGUUUGUCGGUCAGUUUGGAGGAGCAAUGUUUGGGAUUUUGGCGGUGGGUAAUCUUGUUUGCAUGUGAGUUUUUUUGGGGUCAGCUUUAGUCACUACUGUCCGUUCUUUCGGUUAUCGAUCGAAGGUGUUUGGAUAAGGGAACAGGUGGCGUUCCUGGACCUUGAUUUCAUUUUGCUCCAUGGUGCUGCCAAUUACUAGCCAUGAGCUCCGAUUGACAAAGCUCUGAGAUUUGUGCUCGUCUCCUUCUGGAGACAUGUGUCUCUUCUCGAUGGACAUGAAAGGGUGCCUGUGCUUCUUGGAUCAUAGACAUCGGAGUGUGCAUGUGUAGUUUGGCUGCAUAGUUGUGUUUGUGUGGGUCGGCGGAUGAUUGCAACAAUGUGCAUGUGUAUUUGAUGACCGAGGAGUGCCUUUUCUACUCUUGUAUAUGCUUUGCCUUUGAUGCAGACCAAAAUCGGUCUUUCUGGUCAAUACCUAUACCGUCCUUUUGAUAUGUCAAACGAGGAGGGGAAGACCAUGUGCUUAUUUUUUCUCUUCUCUUGCCAACAUCACCCUAGACACAGAUACAUAAAUAAAAGGAAAGUUGCCAUGCUUCAUAUCUUUCUUUUCAAGGGCAAAUAACACACAAAAGGGCAAAUAUUUUGCAUCUUUUCAAGGUCAAUUUUCAGUUAUGGGUCAGGUGUCUACACUGCACCAUGAUAUCUGAAGUUGUUUUGUAUUUUUUAUUUAUAGAGAAACUAUGUUAUGGUUCAUGGAGUGAUAUUUGAACAAACAUUGACAAGGUAUUUUUAUGCAGGCAAGCUUGUGUUGUCUGCAUGGAGUGACGAACUAAUGAUUAUAUGUGGUAACAAGUAAGUUUUCCUCUUGGCAUUUUACAACCGUAGUAGACUUGCACUUGCUCUCUGUUCUCUUAUAACCUAUAUCAUCCUGGCUAAAUUUAAAAAAUAUAUAUGUAUACACAUGGAUCUGCUUAUUUGGUGUUGCUGCAUGUAUCCCUGCCACCCUCCAACUUCAUGCUGGAUGACAAGAGUGCCUGUGGGCAGGGAUGACACCAUGCUGGAAUAUUUGCCACCACCUAGGCUCAUAAUCACCAUAUAUUCCUGUGAAAAGUUCGUUGAGUGAUGCACCAUGGUCAGUUUAGCACUAGCUUCGCUUCUUGUGGGCGACUAGAACAGGGUAUUGUUGUAUGGGAUCUCGUGUUUGAACUGUGGAUGUGUAUCGGUAGGUGUCAUCACUUGUAAUGCUGAUAAUACUUUAAUGUGUAAGUUUCUUAUUUAAUAAGCAUAAAACGAGUACUCGGCAGGAAGUGAUAAAUUUCAUCUUUUUAUGGCAAAUAAAAUGCCUUCUCGAUCAUGGUCCCCAGCAGCAACUCCCUGGCAUAAAAAAGAAUACGAUCGGAAAUUCAAUUCUUUCUAUUCAUUAUGUAGGAAAAUCAAUAUUUCACUCAGACCUAUUAUGUUUUUAUGGUCUGGAAGUCAAGCGUUUGUUUGUCAAACUACUCAAAAACGUUAUGGCAAACCUUGUUGGCUGAUUCUUUACUUUGCACUUUCCGUAAAAUAUUGCAAGAUAUUCUUGUCAAUUGUCAUUGUGCUUUCCCAUAUGCUUAUGUGAUACUUAAAUCUGUAGGUGAUUUCUUUUAUGUGUGAUGCUGUGGGUCAGAUAACAAUAGAUUCUCCUGAACCUUUGCUAAAUGCACUUGUUGAAACUGAAGUUACCGCUGAUGAACAGAUGCUGCAUGUGCACUUUUAGUGUGCAGCAAAGAAAAAAUGGAGUGUGUUAAGUACUGAAUAUAUAAUGCUUUUCUCCUUAAUUCAUGGUAGAUCUCCUUUUUCAAUGGAUCACAAAUGUAAGUUUGCUGAUUUUGAAUCAAGUGAGCACUAAUGACAUCUUGUACUUCCUUCUUACAGUUUAGAAUCAAACUUGUUGAUGUGUCCAUUCUAUUUAAUUUUUUGGUGGCGUGUCACAAUGGUUAUAGAUAUAAUAGAGUAAAGAUAUCCCUCCUUUUUGUUUCCAGGGAGUUUAAAUUGACCUCUUGGUAGAAGUUAUGCUGUCAUGUUUUAUUAACUACAUUAUUUAUUUGUUUAUUUUGUUGCAGAAAUAACCAUGGGCAGUCGAGAUUUCUGCAAACCGCACUCCACAUUUUGUUCUUAGAGAACUACUGCAGUGGUUACUGAUAUACUGUGCGCUAGCCACUCCAUAAUUUAAAUUUCUGGCACAGGACCAACUUCUCUUGUUGCAUGGAGUGCAACAAAGAUGAAGCUGCGAGAGCAAAAGCUCUGGCAGAAAGAAAAAUGCUGGAAAAGGAUUUUGUUGCCGCAAAAAGGUUUAUUAGCAAGGCGCAGAAACUUUGCAAAGAAGUUGAUGACAUUGACAUUUCAAAAAUGUUAAGUGUCUGUGAUGUUCACUGUGCUGCUGCAGCAAAGGUAAAUGCUGAGAUUGACUGGUAUGGAAUACUGCAAGUACCUGUAGAUGCUGAUGAUGCCCUGAUAAAGAAACAAUAUCGUAAACUUGCCCUUUUGCUACAUCCUGACAAGAACAAGUUUGGAGGUGCAGAGGCAGCUUUCAAAUUAGUUGGAGAAGCAAACAUAACUCUAACAGACAAGUCAAAGCGUAUGGUGUAUGACAUGAAAAGAAGCACCUUCAGAGGCGGUCCAGCAAGACCCCCUCAUAUAAGAACUGCAGCUGCUAGACCUAGUUCUACUCCUGUGAAUCUCUAUAAUAUGCAUCAGCAGCAGCAGCAGCAGGCCUCAAAUCCUGCAGGGACACAAACAACAUUUUGGACUCUCUGUCCAUCUUGUGGCAUGAGAUAUCAGUACUACCGUUCAAUCUUGAAGAAGGCUUUGCGCUGUCAGAAUUGUUUGAAGCCAUUUGUUGCGCAUGAUUUGAAGGAGCAAGCUAUUCCUUCCGGGGCAAAUCAGCGAUCUGCUGGGGUUUGGAAAAAUGCAGGUGCACCACAGAACUUUCCAGGUCCUCAAACAAAUGUCACUGGUCAGAAAGCUUGGUCAACCACUUCAGGAGUUCAUGCCAAUGUCAGUCCUCAUCAUGCUGGUGUAAAUAUAAGGAGGGAAACUGAUGGGAACACAGGUGGGCUAAAAAACAAAAUGAAAUCUGACCGGGCCACCAGAAAUCAUUCAAAAGCUAAAUCAUCUGCAGGAUUGAAAAGGGGCAGGAGAGCUGUGAUUGAAUCAAGUGAAUCAAGCAUGUCAGAAACUAGUAGUGACAGCGAGGAAGAGAUUCUUGAAAAUGGUCCUGCUGCAAAUAGUGCAGGGCCAGGUCAACAAACCCGCAGAUCAAGCAGGCAGAAGCAAGAAGUUAAGUAUAAUGAAGAUAGCGACAACGAAGAUGUUGAAGAUGACGAUAACAAGGACGUUGAUGAUUUUGUGAAUUCUCCUGUAUUAAAGAGGUUGAGGAAAAGUGUGUUCCAUGGUGAUCACAGCAAUACAGCAGCAAAGCCGAACACAGACAUAGCUGACCAUAAUGGUCCGACAAAUGGUGUUAAUGACUGCAGGAACACAGAAGAUAAAGGGAAAGGAGGUGAGUCAUGUGGAGAUAAAACAUCCAAUGGAAUUGAGCAAAUGAAGAGAGGAACAAUGCAUGCUGGAAAAAAUAAUGAUGGAAAAGAAAAGGCAUUUGAUUCUGUCAGCAACAAUGGUCCAGUUCUAAAUGAUCGAAAAGAAAAGGCAUUUGAUUCUGUCAGCGACAAUGGUCCAGUUCUAAAUGAUGAUGAUGCUCCAGGUGAUAAUCAAUACUACACAUUUAUGGAUCCUGAAUUUUUUGAUUUUGACCAACUUCGAGGUGUAAAUCAAUUUAGAGCCAACCAGAUCUGGGCUGUCUAUGAUGAUCAAGACUGUAUGCCUAGAUUUUAUGCUCGAAUCACGAAGGUAAAAACUACCCCAAAGUUUAUGCUGCAUUUUGUUUGGCUGGAGCUUGAUCCCACAAAUAAAGCGGAGAGGGCAUGGUCUUACGGAGGUCUGCCUGUUGCCUGUGGACGCUUUAUGCAUGGACAGUCAGAGACAGCCAAAGAAACUGCUAUGUUCUCGAGAACUAUAUCCUUUGAGAAAAGCAAGACAAGAAACUCCUAUGAAAUAUAUCCAAAGAAAGGUGAAGUUUGGGCUCUUUUUAAGGGAUGGGAUAUUGGUUGGAGCUCAGAUGCUGACAAUCACAAAAAAUUCAACUAUCGGUAUGAAGUGGUUCAAGUUCUCUCUGAUCUCACCACGAGCACUAGCAUUAUUGUCAUGCCGCUUGUGAAGAUAAAAGGUUAUGUUAGCUUAUUCAUGCAGUCUAGAGAGGCAGCUCCAUACGUGAUAUCUCAGGGUGAGACACUGAGGUUUUCUCAUUGUGUCCCGCAUCAUUUGAUGAGAGGAACUGAAAAAGAAGGCGUUCCAGAAGGAUCUCUUGAACUUGAUCCUGCAGCUCUUCCCCUUAACUUGGAAGAGGCUUUUCCAUCUGUUGUCCCAGAAUGCAGUUCUGUAAGAAGUCAGGGACGUGAUGCCAAACAUGCAGGUUCGGCCAGUAGGAAUAGCUCCCACAGAGGAUCUAGGAAGGUGAGUGAUGGGCAACAUACAGCAUCCAUGAAUGUAGGGAUCGCUACAAAGACACCAAAGGAAGAGAAUAGCAAGCAUAACACUGGUACUGCUGAACUUACAGAUGUCGAUGAUGAUAAUGUCCAAACAGAGUAUGUCUGUGCUGAAUCAGAAUUCUAUUAUUUUUCAGAAAUAAGAUUGCUUCAAAAGUUUUCACCUGGGCAGAUCUGGGCUCUCUAUAGUGAUGUAGAUAAAUUCCCCAAUUACUAUGCUUACAUACAGAAAGUUGAUCUCAAGAAUGAUAAAGUGCAAGUUAGAUGGCUUGAUGUUUGUCCUCGAGGAGAAGAGGAGAAAAGAUUGCUUCAAGAAGAACGGACAGUUGGGUGUGGAACCUUUAGGCUUUCAAGCAUUCACGAGUUGAUGACUUACACUGGUACAGAUGCCUUUUCUCAUCCUGUAGAGGCAAGAUCUGCUGGCAGAAAAGGCGAGUAUGAAAUAAUUCCUCAUCUGGGUGAGAUAUGGGCUGUUUACAAGAAUUGGAGGGCAGGAUGGACUGCACACGAUUUUGAAAACUGUGAAUAUGAACUGGUGGAGAUAUUUGGCCAAACUGAUUCGUCCAUACAGGUUCAGCUUUUGAGGAAAGUGGAUGGUUAUAGGACGGUAUUUAUGCCAUACAGAGCAGAGGGAUCUGUGAAGACAAUAAGAAAGGAUGAGUACCCCAAAUUUUCUCACCAGAUUCCUUGCUUUCAUCUGACACAUGAAAAAGGUGGCAAGCUUCGAGGCUAUCUGGAGCUCGAUCCAUUGUCGGUACCAGAGGAAUUCCUCUUUACUUGAUUCAAUGUGAGAAGCCUUAUCUGCAGUGAAUCUGGAGCUUUCUUGUGAUGAAUUUUCCGGAACUAAGGUUCUGCGAAUGUUGGAUGGUUCCACAAUUCUGCAUUUUUCUUUUGAGUGACAGACAUAAGGUGUCUGGAUUUCAGCAUCUGUAGCACUAACGUUAUGGUGGACUAGAUUUGGGCCGUACCAAUCUGCACAACGAAGGCAUUAAAUUGGACUCUUUUGCUAGAUGGCUAUCCGGCAGCAGGCUGCAGUUCAAAAGAUGAGUAAUUUUGUUGCAGCUGCUAUUUGUAGUUAGCAUUAGUUGUAUCUAGUGUUUUAGUUCUGAUGUAAAAACUGCAGCUCUUCCUUUUUUUUCCUCCUAGUGUAAUCUAAAUGGUAGUACUGUAUUUGAACUGUGGGAGGCCAACCUGAUGAAUUAUCAGAAGAGGCCUGUUGCCUCCCUUUCCUGAAACUGAAACAUGAAAUCCAACAAGUCAGGUUUGGCUGAUCUAUUAGUGAUGGUUAUGCUGGUGUUGCUGUGAAGGGGAUGGACAGGACACCCUCCUGCGGGCUGCGGCUCGUCUUAUAACUUCAUUUCUAUUCGAAUCUCCCUCUGUAUAAAAGUUGCACUUGCGUCCUGAUUUUGAUAGCCUCCUUUUUUCUGGAGCUCUGUUCAUUUGCUGUGAUUAGGAUCAGACGAGUCUCAUGUCAAACUUACUGAAUUUCUGUUACGGGAUAGAAUCAUGAAAGGUUGUAGUUCAUAUGUGGAGAUUUUCUUUCACCUCUAUCUUCAUCAUUAGUUUGUUCACUGUAUGCAUUAUUCUGAAAGGAUAGAAUCAUAAAAGUUUGUAGUUUGAUGACUAAAAUCAGAUUCUGGCAAUAGUUUGAUGCCCCAAAAAUGGACUUUUGCCAAAAUACUAUCCUACCCUGUUAGCAUCAUUCAAUAUCAUCUCAUGUAUUCAGUAUUCUACAGUUGCAGCAGCUGAAGUUUGUGAGUCCUGAGGUGAGGAGAAAUGAACUUGAGUGUUUCAAGUUUCUUUGAACUAUGUUGGUACUUUUUUUAGACCAACUAUGGUUGUUAGUUAAGACGAACUACAUGACUCAACAUGAUAAAUGAUAACGACUAUACUUGAACGAAGGAGCCAAACAUGACACAUCGAGAAGCAGGGGGCAGUUCGAAAUGAAAUGGAACGAAAAUGGAGCUUGAUCAUCUAUUUCUGCAGGGAUUCCAAAUUGGCCUCCCUCCUGAUGCAACCUCUCUCUCCACGAUCAUGCCCGUACGUGUAUGCCGAAAUGCAGAUGUUCAUUCACUUGCUUUAUUUCUUUUGAAAAAGCAAACUGGUGCUACUGUUCAUCAUGAAUUGACCAUGGCCCUGUUCGUUCAACACGGUCCAUUUACACAAGUGCCGCUGGAUCCACAGCUGAUGACGGCCCAUUACAGCUGCCCGUCUAAUCACAUCGCGCAGCCCAGCUGCAUCCCGCCCGCCCAACUCAAAACCCACGCUCACAAGUCACAACAUGCGCCAACGGCCUGUUCACACCGGUCACAAAAGUCGUUUUGGAGAACUACGUUAAUAGAUUUUUUAUUUUUGUUCCAAACUGCUCCGUCUAGGUACGUUUAGAUUUUUCCAAAAUUAAAUAUUUUUACAAUUUUAGUCAAUAAAUAAUUAUUUAUAGAAAAUGUUAUAUAUUAUAAUAGUUGGUUUCACAAUAAACCUACUAACACAAUUUUUAUAUUAUUAGUCUAUAAUUAUUUUGCUAUUCGUACUUAAAAUUAAAAAAGUUGAAUUGAAAAAAAUCUAAACAUAGUUGAAUUGAAAAUAUGGAGGGAGUAUGCAUUUAGAAGAAUAAUAUAAAUCUAAAUAUAACUGUUACAGUAAAAAUCAUUGGAUUUUAUAAACAUCCCAUACUCUAAUAGAAAUCAGUGUAGAUUCCGAUAUUCUUCCGAUAGAAAACAGUGGCUAAAAUUACCGAUAAGAGAUCCUUGCAUUCCAGAACAUACAUUGUUUUGCUGGCCAAAACCAGUAAUAGUAACAUAAAAAAACAAAAUCACGCGAUAUUGGAUGCACGCUAGGGAUGGAUGGCAAAAAUGUUGGUCCAAAGCUUUAAAUCACUAAGCAUGAAGAAAGGAAAAACACCUCCCCAGGAGCCUCUAAGAAAUUAUGGUGUCUGAUUGAUUAACCAAACGAAGGCUACAUAACUGUUUGACACGGGUUUUAAUUUUGACUACAUAUCUUCAAUGCAAAACGACGGCAAAAAGAACAGAAGACCUAUACCAACAGCAACAAAUGAUGAUUAGUUAAAUACCUGAUGGAACAGACCUCCAUCAAGAACCCAGUGAAUGGUAACCAGAACAAACAACAUGCUCCUAAUACAUAU
This 58536-nucleotide long non-coding RNA is filed under the name Setaria viridis. Its description in RNAcentral is "long non-coding RNA (SVIR_LNC005200)". Lineage: Eukaryota; Viridiplantae; Streptophyta; Magnoliopsida; Poales; Poaceae. The record is from RNAcentral.